This 53612-nucleotide long non-coding RNA is filed under the name Triticum aestivum (bread wheat). RNAcentral describes it as "long non-coding RNA (TAES_LNC027425)". The record is from RNAcentral. Lineage: Eukaryota; Viridiplantae; Streptophyta; Magnoliopsida; Poales; Poaceae.
UAAACCCUAGAAGCUAGCCUAUGAUUAUGAUUGUUGUUGUCCUACGGACUAAACCCUCUGGUUUAUAUAGACACCGGAGGGGCUAGGGUUACACAGAGUCGGUUACAAAGAAGGAAAUCUACAUAUCCGAAUCGCCAAGCUUGCCUUCCACGCAAAGGAGAGUCCCACCUGGACACGGGAUGAAGUCUUCAAUCUUGUAUCUUCAUAGUCCAACAGUCUGGCACAAGUACAUAGUCCGGCUAUCCGGGGACCCCCUAAUCUAGGACUCCCUCAGUAGCCCAUGAACCAGGCUUCAAUGACGAUGAGUCCAGCGCGUAGAUUGUUUUCGGCAUUGCAAGGCGGGUUCCUCCUUUGACUAUUCCAAGGUAGAUUUUGAACACAUGAAUCGUGUCCGGCUCUGCAAAAUAAAUUCCACGUACCACCGUGGAGAGCACAAUAUUCCACAAAUCUAAUCUGCUGACAACUUUUCGUAGCGUGACAUCACGCCGCAGCCCGGUCAUUAUACAAACCAUUUUUCCCAACCUGCUACUGCACGUAUUGCAAGGCGUAUUUAUUGGCACGUCUUGUCGAAGCAGAGAUCAUGUUCCUCUUAUCAUGGGAUUCUCAUCAAUACGGGCAUGGGUAACCCAACCGUGCCUAUUAGUAUGACUCCUUGAUUUUAAGCAAGUUCCAAACGGCCACACGGAGGACGCUUGAUAUUCACCCUCUUUAUAAAGUGGUCCAGACCUAUCCUUUUCUUUCCACGCCCAAUCCCUCCCUUCCCCUAACUCGAGUUCCAACACCCAAGGUUUGGGUUAAGCGCUUCGGAUCUUCAACCAUGUCCAGAUCCAACCUUCAAGGCCGGUGGAUGGCCUCUUCUGUUACAGAGGAGGACAUCAAGAAGCUUAGGGAGGCUAGGUAUCUGACCGCCGAAAUCCCCCACAAGCUACCUGCCCAAGGGCAGGUUAUCCCCACUCCCGAACCCAACGAGAGUGUGGUAUUUGUUUCCCACUUCCUCCAAGGGCUAGGCUUUAGUCUUGAUCCCUUCGUAAGAGGGCUCAUGUACUAUGACGGGCUAGAUUUCCAUGAUCUAGCUCCAGAUUCCAUCCUUCACAUCUCGUCGUUUAUCGUCGUGUCUGAGGCCUUCCUUUGCAUUACCCCACACUUCGGCUUAUGGCUCAAGACCUUCAAUGUGAAGCCGAAUGUCAGUGUACAAAAGUAGGGGCUCUCCUUUUGACCCCUUUACUUGUGCACGGGCAGUCAGAGCCACCCGCCACGGCCAUGCAUAACAGGGCAGGAAAGGGAAGCCGGAGAGAAGACGAAGGCACAAGGCAAACAAAGCAACGACUAGGACCAAGGCCACAAAGAUCAGAUGGACGAAGCAGGUUUCCCUGGCAAAGACCCUUGACGGGACAGCCUCAGCGGCCCCGGCAACACCCUUGCUGGGGCAGCUCGCCCACACCAACUAAGUGAGCCACCUUUGAGCCCACCAACGCUAGACAAACGCAUUGGGACAGGGCUCGGGAGGCACCUCCGUGGUGGCAUGCAGAUCUUUGUGAAGACAAAGAAUAGUCAAGAUCAAAUGAGGAUAAGAAGGCAACAAUCCUCGGCAGGGUUCUUACCGAGGAAGCCCGCGAGACCCCCGGAAAGGUCCUUGCAGGGGAUGACGGCAUGCCGCCACAAGAAACCUUCGGAAAUCGUGUACCUCAACCUUCGAAAAGCAUCCGUUAUAUGAGUUAUGGCAAUACUCCCGAGCUCGCCCCAGUACUGGGUUAUCGGGGUUAUCUCACCAACAACUGCAUAAAAGAGAUUUUCGAUGUCGGCAAAACUCAGGUAUUCCAGAACUGCAACGAUAAAAUUGUGACGACAACACCUCGGAUCUCAACUCCCCGGGACACUGCCACAACCCCUAAAUGUCAGGAGGCACCAAGAACAAUGUUCUCGUCACAAAACCAUCGGAACGAUUCCAAGAUACCCGCGUGAUCCUAAAAAACUUUUAGUGAAAUUCGAGAAGAGGAAAGUCAAAACAUCUACGUCAGGAGACCUCACCAGAGCGACGAAGGGACUGAGGAGUAAAAAGAAUCCUACUCUCCGAUAUAUAUAAUCCUAAGACUCAAAACAUUUUUUGUUCUAGACUCAACAUCGCCAGCAAACAAUCAAGCAGGGGCUCCUAAGUCGGGGAUGGCUCUGAUACCAACUUAUUACACCCACGAUGCGGCUAUAUCUCCCACGUGUCGAAGCACGACUUAGAGGCAUAACCGCAUGGUGGUUUUGUCGCAAGAAGGGUCAUCUUCACACAAUCCCACGUAAUGAACAAGAAUGGGAUAAAGAGAGUUUGCUUACAAUCGCCACUUCACACAAUACAUAAUUUAGAUCAUACAUCAUUCAAAUACACUCAUAGACCGACUACGGUCAAGUUCAAAUGAAAAGAAGACAGCCCCAAAUGCUAGAUCCCCGAUCGUCCCGACUGGGCACCUCUACUGAUCAUCUGGAAACGAUACAUAGUAACGACCAAGGGCCUCAUCAAAUUCCCACUUCAGCUCAGUUGCGCCAUCUGCGCCAGUAUCCUCGGCACCUGCAUCUGUUUUGGUAGAAUCUGCGAGUCACGAGGACUAAGCAAUCUCACACCCGCGAGGUCAAGACUAUUUAAGCUCAUAGGUAGGCAAAGGGGUAAUAUGGUGGAGCUGCAACGAGCACUAAGCAUAUAUGGUGGCUAACAUACGCAAGUGAGAGCGAGAAGAGAAGCAACGCAUCGGUCGAGAAGCUAGAAAUGAUCAAGAAGUGAUCCUGAAACUACUUACGUCAAGCAUAACUCAAACCGUGUUCACUUCCCGGACUCUGCCGAGAAGAGACCAUCACGGCUACACACGCGGUUGAUGCAUUUUAAAGAGGUCAAGUGUCAAGUUAUCUACAACCGGACAUUAACAAAUUCCCAUCUGCCUCAUAACCGCGGGCACGGCUUUUGAAAGAUUAUAUACCCUGCAGGGGUGUCCCAACUUAGCCCAUCACAAGCUCUCACAGUCAAUGAAGGAAUAUACCUUCUCUCGGGAAGACCCGAUCAGUCUCGAAAUCCCGGUUCGCAAAACAUUUCGACAAUGGUAAAACAAGACCAGCAAAGCCGCCUGAAGUGCCGACAAAUCCCGAUAGGAGCUGCACAUAUCUCGUUCUCAGGGCACACCGGAUGAGUCAAGCUACGAGUAAAACCAACCCUCAAGUUGCCCCGAGGUGGCCCCGCAGGCUGCUCAGUUUGGACCAACACUCGAAGGAGCACUGGCCCGGGGGGGGUUAAAAUAAAGAUGACCCUUGGGCUCGCGAAAACCCAAGGGAAAAGGGCUUAGGUGGCAAAUGGUAAAACCAAGUUUGGGCCUUGCUGGAGGAGUUUUAUUCAAAGCGAACUGUUAAGGGGGUCCCAUAAAUCACCCAACCGUGUAAGGAACGCAAAAUCAAGGAACAUAACACCGGUAUGACGGAAACUAGGGCGGCAAGAGUGGAACAAGUCACCAGGCAUAAGGCCGAGCCUUCCACCCUUUACCAAGUAUAGAAGGUGCAUUAAUGUAAACAGGAGAUAUUGUGAUAUCCCAAAAUAACCAUGUUCCGACGAGGAACAAACUUCAUCUUCACCUGCAACUAACAACGCUAUAAGAGGGGCUGAGAAAAAGCGGUGACAUAGCCAAUCAACGGUUGCUAGGACAGGAUGGUUAGAGGUUUAACAUGGCAAUAGGAAGGCAUGGUAAUCAAAGGCAGGUAGGGCUAACAUAGCGAAAGAGCGAGUACUAGCAAGCAAAGAUAGAAGUGAUAUCGAGGGUAUGGUCAUCUUGCCUGCAAGGUUCUCAGAGUUGUCGAAGGCUGGAUCCUCGUAAGCGUACUCAACAGGCUCCUCGUGCACGUACUCGUCUCCCGGCUCUACCCAAAGCAAGAACACAAGCAAGGAACCACAAUAAAUCACGGUGCAAUGCACAAGCAACAUGAUGCAAUACAUGUCAUGAUAUGCGAGAUGUGUUAUGCAAUGCAUAUGCGUGCUUCAGAAGGAAAUAUGAUGAACAAGGCAUCAACUUGGCAAACCAAGUAUGCCGCUGGAAAGAUGAGACGAUUUCGGUUGAAAUCGAUAUAAAGAUCACCGGAUUCGGAUGCACGGUUUGCAAAUGACAAGCAAGACAAGUAUGGCACAACGCUGCGAUUAACAGCACGAAGCUACUUAGCAUGAAACAAGAAACUAUGCUACAACACCCCAACAUAAAAACAAAGCAUAUGGCAAUGAUCUACAGGAGAUGCUUUACAAAAGAGGAACACUGAGCUACGGCUAAAUCACAUCAUAACAGGUUCAAACAAGCAUGGAGAAAGUGCAAAAAAUAUCAGGUUGGACAUGGCAUAAACAACAUCACGAAGCAAUGUUCAGAGCAGGUUAUCAACAUGUUACAGGAACUUAUAAUAGCCAAACAAGACAUGGCAUGAAUCUACUCAAAGCAUAGAUCAAAAGUCCCUUACUGACCAUAAGCCAAAAAGGAUCAGAAAAUAUGAUGGCACCCUCGUAAACAUAGCAAGUUUCGUUAACAGAUUCAGCAAACAAAGCAUGGCAUUGGCAUAAUUGCGAAGGCACCUUCGUGAGCUCGGUGCACUCACUACAGAGCAUCUCAUGAUAAAUUAAGCAUACAUCCAUCAAGAAUACAUAACAUAGAAGCUAUACAUGGCAAGAAACAACAUCAUAGCAUAUCCGGAUCAACUACAACAACCUCAGCCAAAUUGAAUAACAUGUAAACAAUCUGCCAGGAAACAUUUUGAAGCAGAAGUAGAGCACGAAAAUGACAUGCUAGACUACUCCAUAAUUGCAACCAGGACCAUGGAUGGAUAGAGCAAAACCAUGUUUUCAAAACACCCUUACUGAAGUAUCUCAAAUUAUGCAUGGAUCUCUCUGUAGCAACAUGUUUACAUGGCAUCAAAAUUACAGCAGAACAGGGACUAAAAUCAGCAUUAUCACGAAGCCUAGUUUGCAUGCUUGUGCUAGUCACCACAUUUAUCACAAAAAUACAUGGUAAGCACCUCUGUAAAUAAGACAUAGCCUAGUUCAAAACACAUUUAGGGACCAAGUCCAUAGGAUGCACACAUCAAUCAUGGCAAAAAUGACAAAAGAGCUCGUGCUGAUAAGAUUCUGAAACUAACAUUAUGAAGCCCUCUUACAACAACAUUUCGGGCAUCAAGACGAGCUCAAAGGUAAAUGAUGCAAUGGAAUGAAAUGAUGUACUCUUCGAUACGAACAAUAUGACAUAUUACAUGCACGAAACGGAGCUACGGAUGCGAAGAUGUGAUGCGAUGAAGAUGCAACAAUAAUUAUCAUAGAAAAUGACAGCCGAAAAUCGGGGGGGAGAAGUCAACGACCGGAUCUGGAUCCGGGGCGCGCAAACCGAGGCGAGGCGCGGCUCGCCGGAGAUGGAGGAAGGGGCGGCCGGCGGAGCUCCUCUGGGCCGGAUUCGGCCUUCCCGCGGCCGGAUCUGGCCGGGGCGGCGACGAGGGCGCGGGGCAGCGCGGCGGAGAGGCGGCCGGACGGCGAGGCUGGGCGCGGCAGGGCGGCACAGGUGGNNNNNNNNNNNNNNNNNNNNNNNNNNNNNNNNNNNNNNNNNNNNNNNNNNNNNNNNNNNNNNNNNNNNNNNNNNNNNNNNNNNNNNNNNNNNNNNNNNNNNNNNNNNNNNNNNNNNNNNNNNNNNNNNNNNNNNNNNNNNNNNNNNNNNNNNNNNNNNNNNNNNNNNNNNNNNNNNNNNNNNNNNNNNNNNNNNNNNNNNNNNNNNNNNNNNNNNNNNNNNNNNNNNNNNNNNNNNNNNNNNNNNNNNNNNNNNNNNNNNNNNNNNNNNNNNNNNNNNNNNNNNNNNNNNNNNNNNNNNNNNNNNNNNNNNNNNNNNNNNNNNNNNNNNNNNNNNNNNNNNNNNNNNNNNNNNNNNNNNNNNNNNNNNNNNNNNNNNNNNNNNNNNNGCGCGGGCUCGCCCACGUGGCAGUCCCUGAUUCGCCGGGGCGCGGCGGCGGACGCGUCCGGCUCCGUCCGGACGUGUCCGGCGGCGCGGGGAGGGAUUUUUUUAUGGUUUGCCCGUGAAUUUCGGAGGGGGAGGCAUAUAUAUAGGUAAAGGGAGCUAGGAGUGUCCAAAUGAGGUGCGGUUUUCGCCCACACGAUCGUGAUCGAACGAACGAGAGCAUGGAGGGGAGUUAGAUGGGUUAUUGGGCUGUUUUGGAGGGGUGUUGGGCUGCAACUUAAAAGAGGCCUUGCUGGAUAUGCGGACAACCGUUGGAGUACCAAACGAGCUCCAAAUGACCCGAAACUUGACAGGUGGUCUACCGGUGCUAUACCAGGGCCACUUGGCAAGGCUCGGUCCAUUCUGAGAACGUUUAACAACCGCACACGAAAAGAGACAAGAGGAGUGCGCCGGUGCAUGUGGGAGUGUCAGAUUGCUCGGAUGCAUGAGAUGAACACAUAUGCAAAAUGAAAUGCACAUGAUGACAUGAUAUGAUAUGCAUGACAUGAAUAAGAUGCAAAACAAAAGAGAAAACCCAACGGUGGAGGGAAUAUCAUAUCACAUAGCCGAAAAUGGCAAGAGUUGGAGAUACAAAGAUGGAAAGUUACAUCCGGGGUGUUACAACACUCCACCACUACAAGAGGAUCUCGUCCUGAGAUCUAGGACUGAAAGAACUCCGGAUAUUCAGAACGGAGGUGAUCCUCGCGCUCCCAGGUGGCUUCUCGAUCGGAAUGGUGUGACCACUUCACUUUCAGGAAUUUGAUUGACUUGUUGCGAGUAUUGCGCUCGGUUUCUUCAAGAAUAGAAACCGGGUGCUCAUGAUAAGAGAGAUCUUCUUGAAGGUCGAUCUCUUCGAAGUUGAUAGUGCGCUCAGGAGUCUUGAAGCACUUGCAAAGCUGUGACACGUGAAACACAUCGUGCACAUUCGCAAAGUUGGAUGGAAGCUCAAGUUGAUAGGCGAGGUCGCCUCUUUUGCCAAUGAUCUUGAAAGGACCCACGUAUCUAGGGGCAAGCUUCCCUUUGAUACCGAAGCGACGAGUGCCUUUCAUUGGAGAGACACGGAGGUAGACAUGGUCUUCGAUUUGAAAAGCCAAGUCAUGGUGCUUGCUAUCAUAGUAACUCUUCUGUCGUGAUUGCGUGGCUUUGAGAUUCUCACGAAUGACUUUGCACAUUUCUUAGGCUUCUGUGAUAAAGUCAUUGCCAAGAAGUUGGCGUUCACCUGUCUCGGACCAGUUGAGAGGAGUAUGACACUUUCUGCCAUAGAGAAUUUCGAAUGGGGCCUUGCCCGAACUCGCUUGGAAGCUAUUGUUGUAGGAGAACUCGGCAUAUGGUAGACAAUCUUCCCACUUCAUACCGAAAGAGAUGACACAAGCCCUGAGCAUAUCUUCAAGGAUUUGAUUUACUCGCUCGACUUGGCCAGUUGUUUGAGGAUGGAAAGCUGUGCUGAAACGAAUGUUGGUGCCCAUGGCCUUCUGAAAGGAUUCCCAGAACUUAGAAGUGAAGAUGCUUCCACGAUCUAAACAUAUCAAUUGAGGAAUACCGUGCAAGGAGACAAUUCUGGAGGUGUAUAGCUCUGCCAGCUGAGCUGCUGUGAUAGAUUCUUUGAUAGGAAGAAAAUGAGCCACUUUGGUAAGCUUGUCAAUGACAACGAAGAUAGCAUCAUUUCCACGCUUGGACUUAGGAAAACCAGUCAAGAAGUCCAUCUCGAUAUGGUCAAACUUCCAUUCCAGAAUAACAAGAGGUUGGAGGAGACCAGCUGGUCGUUGGUGUUCUGCUUUCACUCUUCUGCAGACAUCACAUUCAUUCACGAAUUGAGCAAUCUCUCGCUUCAUUCGAGUCCACCAAUAUGACUGCUUGAGGUCAUGGUACAUCUUUGUACUUCCAGGAUGAAUGGAUAGGAGGGAAUUGUGUGCCUCAUUCAUGAUGACUUUUCUCAGAUCACCUUUUGGAACCACAAUUCGAUCCUCGAAGAAAAGAGUAUCUUUGUCAUCCAAGCGAUAGCACUUGUAUUUAGGAAUGCCCUUGUCAAUACCACGUUUCACCUUCUUCACCAUGGUAUCCAGGAGUUGUGCCUCACGAAUUUGAUCUUCCAAAGUAGGAGAGACUAUGAGGUUGGCAAGAAAGCCUUGAGGAACAACUUGAAGAUUCAGCUUGCGGAAGGCUUCACAAAGAUCCGGUUGAAACGGCUUGAGAAUUAGACUGUUGCAAUAAGCCUUUCUGCUCAGAGCAUCUGCAAUCACAUUCGCCUUGCCAGGAGUAUAUUCGAUACUCGGAUUGUACUCUUGAAUCAUUUCGACCCAUCGAGUUUGCCUGAGGUUAAGGUUGGGUUGAGUGAAGAUAUACUUGAGGCUCUUGUGAUCGAUGAAAAUGUCCACUUGCCUUCCCAAUAAGAGAUGUCUCCAUGUUAUCAAUGCAUGGACAACUACCGCCAACUCAAGAUCGUGAGUGGGGUAGUUCUUUUCGUUGGGCUUCAACUGACGAGAGGUAUAGGCCACAACUUUCUUCUCUUGCAUCAACACAGCACCGAGACCUUGAAGGGAAGCAUCACAGAAUACUUCGAAUGGCUUGGAUUCAUCAGGAGGAGUCAAAACAGGAGCUGUGACUAGCUUCUCUUUGAGGGUGUUGAAAGCGACGUCGCACUUAGGCGUCCAGACAUACUUGACAUGCUUCUGGAGGAGGUUGGAAAGAGGCUUUGCAAUCUUUGAGAAGUUCUCAACGAAUCUUCGGCAAUAGCUUGCAAGACCAAGAAAACUGCGGAGCUGUUUGACAUUCUGAGGAGGUUCCCAAUUCACAACUGCAGAAACCUUCGCCGGAUUAACAGCAAUUCCCUUGGCAGAGAUGAUGUGACCAAGAUAAAGAACUUCAUCAAGCCAGAACUCACAUUUGGAAAACUUCGCAUAGAAUUGAUGCUCUCUGAGCUUGUCGAGCACCAAUCGCAAAUGUUUGGCAUGAUCCUGCUUAUUCUUGGAGAAGACCAAAAUAUCAUCGAGAUACACCAAGACGAAUUCAUUGGUGUAGGGGUUGAAGAUAAAGUUCAUCAUGCGAGAGAGAGUUGGAGGAGCAUUGACAAGGCCGAAAGACAUGACAGUAUAUUCAUAAGAACCAAAGCUUGUUCUGAAUGCUAUCUUGGGAAUAUCUUGUUCACGAAUGCGAAUCUGAUGAUAACCCAUACGAAGGUCAAGCUUGGAGAAUACUUUAGCACCUUUGAGUUGCUCGAAAAGCUCGUUGAUGUUGGGAAGUGGAUACUUGUUCUUGAUUGUCUUCUUGUUCAAUGGACGGUAAUCGAUGCAAAGUCGGUCCGUGCCAUCCUUCUUCUGGACAAAAAGAACUCCACAACCCCAUGGGGAAGAACUCGGUCUGAUCAAACCCAGACGCUCUUGUUCAUCGAGCUGCUUCUUCAAUUCCUUCAGCUCCUUGGGUCCAAGCUUGUAUGGGCGCUUGCAAACGGGUUCAGUUCCAGGCUCAAGAUCAAUAACGAACUCGACUGGCCGAUGAGGAGGCAUACCCGGAAGCUCUUCUGGAAAGACAUCUUGGUACUCACAAACGACUGGAAUUUGAGAAAUAGCAUCCAAUUCGCCCUUCUCAUUGAGAGAAAACAACCGAAUGGUUUCAUCACGAGCGGCAUAGAUGAUAACAUCCUCAGAAGGGUGUGUCAAUUGAAUUUGCCUGGCAGCACAAUCAAGCUGAGCCUUGUGCUUAGAAAGCCAGUCCAUCCCAAGAAUUAGAUCAAUAUCAGAGUCACCAAGAACCACUAGAGAAGACAGAAAUUUAUAGUCGCCCAUCUUGAUUGUGGUAUCUGGAACCACCAAACUGGAGCUCAACCGUUUACCCGGAGAAACGACAUCCAUGGGUUUACCCAAAUGUGACGAAGAGAAUUCAUGCUUGGCAAAAAACGGUCUUGACAUGAAACAAUGCGAUGCACCAGUAUCAAAUAAGACUUUAGCAGGAAUAUCAUUAACAGGAAGAUUACCGAUGAUCACAUCUGAAGAAUCCUCUGCCUGAGCUGCAUUCAUCAUGUUCACCUUUGCAGACUUUGGAUUAUGCUUGACCACUGCAUUGCUUGAAGAUCUCACAGGAGGAGGAGGAGGAAGGCGCCUUUGAUUGAUGCAUUUGUUCGCGUAGUGGCCUCUCUGCUAGCACUUGUUGCAAGUCACUUCUGAGAGCGGACGAUGAUAAGGAGCACUUGACCUUGGAGCUUGAGACUGAGACUUGUUCUGAUAGCUUGGGUUGGGUGGGUGGGAAGAUCCACGACCACCUGAGUUCUUCUAUUGGUAAGGCUGACGAAACGGAGGAGGAAGAUAAAACUUCUGCUGCUUAGCUGCCACUUGUGAGGAAGAAGAAGAUUGCACUGCAUCCUUGAUUCUCUUCUUAGAAGCCUCACACUUGAGCUGAGCACCUUCUUGCUUGAGUGCCAUAUUGUAGAAUUGAUCAAACUGAGUAGGCUCAAUAAGAACGAGAGCUAACUGCAGAUCCUCUCUAAGGCCACCUCUGAACUGAUAGAUCAUAGUUUUCUCAUCAGGAACAUCUUGCUUAGCAAAGAGAGCAAGUUUCUGAAACUGCUUGUUGUAUUUGUACACUGACAUGUUGCCUUGCUUGAGAUUGCGGAACUCCUCACGCUUGCUCUCAACAACAUUGGUAGGAAUAUGGUGAGCUUUAAAGUCCCGACAGAAAUCAGUCCAAGUAAUCACUCGACCACCUCUGGAAUCCUUGUAUUGCUGGAACCAAUCAGCUACCUGAUCCUUGAGCUGAAAAGAAGCGAACUUGACAUAGUCUUCAGGCCUGACAUUGCUGCAUUCAAAAUGCUUCUUGAUAUCCACGAGCCAAUCAUCAGUGUCUGUGGCCUCGACACAGUAGCUGAAAGACUUCGGCUGAUUUGCAAGGAAUUGGUUGAGGGUUGGAAACUGAGGCUGAUGAUUGAACUGCCCUUGACCUUGAUUCCCUUGGUUGCCUUGGCCUUGGUUGCGCUCUUGCAUGAGCUGAAUCAUCAUCUGAGCAUGGGCGUUAGAGGCUGCCAUCAAAGCUUGCCAUGCCUCCGGAGGCGGAGGUGGAGGUGGAGGGUUCGCCUGACUCCCAUCAUUGCGUUCCGGAUUCUGACGCGUUGGCGGAGCCAUCCUGAAGAGGGUGACAUCCGUUAGCAUCUUGAUAGACAAAUAGACAAGUUGAAUCAACGGAUAUAAAUUGCAACAUAUAGUCUUCACAAUAAACAUUCGAACAUGGAUGAACGAAUGAAUUCCAAAGUAAACAUCACACGUCCAUUAAGGUGAGAAGCCACGUGAUAAGAGAUUGAUGAAUGAAAUAAACAAGGUACAACUGGAACAAAUAAGUGGUAAGGAUUACCCAAUCACAAACCAAAUAUCUGCGGAAGAAAUGCUAGAGCUACUUGAAUCCCACCUAUAAACUCCCGAAACUUUCCGGUUAUGCAAUCAGGUGUUGGGGAUACAGGGGAAGCAAUAUAUCUCACCCAAACUAACAAUCCCUACAUCCAGCUAUAUCCAUCCGUCAACACAUAACCAAGAAACCUUCGGAAAUCGUGUACCUCAACCUUCGAAAAGCAUCCGUUAUACGAGUUAUGGCAAUACUCCCGAGCUCGCCCCAGUACUGGGUUAUCGGGGUUAUCUCACCAACAACUGCAUAAAAGAGAUUUUCGAUGUCGGCAAAACUCAGGUAUUCCAGAACUGCAACGAUAAAAUUGUGACGACAACACCUCGGAGCUCAACUCCCCGGGACACUGCCACAACCCCUAAAUGUCAGGAGGCACCAAGAACAAUGUUCUCAUCACAAAACCAUCGGAACGAUUCCAAGAUACCCGCGUGAUCCUAAAAUUUUUUUUAGUGAAAUUUGAGAAGAGGAAAGUCAAAACAUCUACGUCAGGAGACCUCACCAGAGCGAUGAAGGGACUGUGGAGUAAAAAGAAUCCUACUCUCCGAUAUAUAUAAUCCUAAGAAUCAAAACAUUUUUUGUUCUAGACUCAACAUCGCCAGCAAACAAUCAAGCAGGGGCUCGUAAGUCGGGGAUGGCUCUGAUACCAACUUAUUACACCCACGAUGUGGCUAUAUCUCCCACGUGUCGAAGCACGACUUAGAGGCAUAACCGCAUGGUGGUUUUGUCGCAAGAAGGGUCAUCUUCACACAAUCCCAUGUAAUGAACAAGAAUGGGAUAGAGAGAGUUGGCUUACAAUCGCCACUUCACACAAUACAUAAUUUAGAUCAUACAUCAUUCAAAUACACUCAUAGACCGACUACGGUCAAGUUCAAAUGAAAAGAAGACAACCCCAAAUGCUAGAUCCCCGAUCGUCCCAACUGGGCACCUCUACUGAUCAUCUGGAAACGAUACAUAGUAACGACCAAGGGCCUCAUCAAAUUCCCACUUCAGCUCAGUUGCGCCAUCUGCACCAGUAUCCUCGGCACCUGCAUCUGUUUUGGUAGAAUGUGUGAGUCAUGAGGACUCAGCAAUCUCACACCCACGAGAUCAAGACUAUUUAAGCUCAUAGGUAGGCAAAGGGGUAAUAUGGUGGAGCUGCAGCGAGCACUAAGCAUAUAUGGUGGCUAACAUACGCAACUGAGAGCGAGAAGAGAAGCAACACAUCGGUCGACAAGCUAGAAGUGAUCAAGAAGUGAUCCUGAAACUACUUACGUCAAGCAUAACUCAAACCGUGUUCACUUCCCGGACUCCGCCGAGAAGAGACCAUCACGGCAACACACGCGCUUGAUGCAUUUUAAAGAGGUCAAGUGUCAAUUUAUCUACAACCGAACAUUAACAAAUUCCCAUCUGCCUCAUAACCGCGGGCACGGAUUUCGAAAGAUUAUAUACCCUGCAGGGGUGUCCCAAGUUAGCCCAUCACAAGCUCUCAUGGUCAACGAAGGAAUAGACCUUCUCCCGGGAAGACCCGAUCAGUCUCGGAAUCCCGGUUCGCAAAACAUUUCGACAAUGGUAAAACAAGACCAACAAAGCCGCCCGAAGUGCCGACAAAUCCCGAUAGGAGCUGCACAUAUCUCGUUCUCAGGGCACACCGGAUGAGUCAAGCUACGAGUAUAACCAACCCUCAAGUUGCCCUGAGGUGGCCCCGCUGGCUGCUCAGUUCGGACCAACACUCGAAGGAGCACUGGCCCGGGGGGGUUAAAAUAAAGAUGACCCUUGGGCUCGCGAAAACCCAAGGGAAAAGGGCUUAGGUGGCAAAUGGUAAAACCAAGUUUGGGCCUUGCUGGAGGAGUUUUAUUCAAAGCGAACUGUUAAGGGGGUCCCAUAAAUCACCCAACCGUGUAAGGAACGCAAAAUCAAGGAACAUAACACCGGUAUGACGGAAAAUAGGGUGGCAAGAGUGGAACAAGUCACCAGGCAUAAGGCCGAUCCUUCCACCCUUUACCAAGUAUAGAAGGUGCAUUAAUGUAAACAGAAGAUAUUGUGAUAUCCCAAAAUAACCAUGUUCCGACCAGGAACAAACUUCAUCUUCACCUGCAACUAACAACGCUAUAAGAGGGGCUGAGAAAAAGCGGUGACAUAGCCAAUCAACGGUUGCUAGGACGGGAUGGUUAGAGGUUUAACAUGGCAAUAGGAAGGCAUGGUAAUCAAAGGCAGGUAGGUCUAACAUAGCGAAAGAGCGAGUACUAGCAAGCAAAGAUAGAAGUGAUAUCGAGGGUAUGGUCAUCUUGCCUGCAAGGUUCUCAGAGUUGUCGAAGGUUGGAUCCUCGUAAGCGUACUCAACAGGUUCCUCGUGCACGUACACGUCUCCCGGCUCUACCCAAAGCAAGAACACAAGCAGGGAACCACAAUAAAUCACGGUGCAAUGCACAAGCAACAUGAUGCAAUACAUGUCAUGAUAUGAGAGAUGUGGUAUGCAAUGCAUAUGCGUCCUUCAAAAGGAAAGAUGAUUAACAAGGCAUCAACUUGACAAACCAAGUAUGCCGCUGGAAAGAUGAGAUGAUUUCGGUUGAAAUCGAUAUAAAGAUCACCGGAUUCGGAUGCACGGUUUGCAAAUGGCAAGCAAGACAAGUAUGGCACAACGAUGCGAUUAACAGCACGAAGCUACUUAGCAUGCAACAAGAAACUAUGCUACAGCACCCCAACAUAAAAACAAAGCAUAUGGCAAUGAUCUACAGGAGAUGCUUUACAAAAGAGGAACACUGAGCUACGGCUAAAUCACAUCAUAACAGGUUCAAACAAGCAUGGAGAAAGUGCAAAAAAUAUCAGGUUGGACAUGGCAUAAACAAUAUCACGAAGCAAUGUUUAGAGCAGGUUAUCAACAUGCUAUAGGAACUUAUAAUAUCCAAACAAGACAUGGCAUGAAUCUACUCAAAGCAUAGAUCAAAAGUCCCUUACUGACCAUAAGCCAAAAAGGAUCAGAAAAUAUGAUGGCACCCUCGUAAACAUAGCAAGUUUCGUUAACAGAUUCAGCAAACAAAUCAUGGCAUUGGCAUAAUUGCGAAGGCACCUUCGUUAGCUCGGUGCACUCACUACAGAGCAUCUCAUGAUAAACUAAGCAUACAUCCAUCAAGAAGACAUGACAUAGAAGCUAUACAUGGCAAGAAACAACAUCAUAGCAUAUCCGGAUCAACUACAACAACCUCGGCCAAAUUGAAUAACAUGUAAACAAUCUGCCAGAAAUCAUUUUGAAGCAGAAGUAGAGCACGAAAAUGACAUGCUAGACUACUCCAUAAUUGCAACCAGGACCAUGGAUGGGUAGAGAAAACCCAUGUUUUCAAAACACCCUUACUGAAGUAUCUCAAAUUAUGCAUGGAUCUCUCUGUAGCAACAUGUUUACAUGGCAUCAAAAUUACAGCAGAACAGGGACUAAAAUCAGCAUUAUCACGAAGCCUAGUUUGCAUGCUUGUGCUAGUCACCACAUUUAUCACAAAAAUAAAUGGUAAGCACCUCUGUAAAGAAGACAUAGCCUAGUUCAAAACACAUUUAGGGACCAAGUCCAUAGGAUGCACACAUCAAUCAUGGCAAAAAUGACAAAAGAGCUCGUGCUGAUAAGAUUCUGAAACUAACAUUAUGAAGCCCUCUUCCAACAGCAUUUCGGGCAUCAAGACGAGCUCAAAUGUAAAUGAUGCAAUGGAAUGAAAUGAUGUACUCUUUGAGGCGAACAAUAUGACAUAUUACAUGCACGAAACGGAGCUACGGAUGCGAAGAUGUGAUGCAAUGAAGAUGCAACAAUAAUUAUCACAGAAAAUGACNNNNNNNNNNNNNNNNNNNNNNNNNNNNNNNNNNNNNNNNNNNNNNNNNNNNNNNNNNNNNNNNNNNNNNNNNNNNNNNNNNNNNNNNNNNNNNNNNNNNNNNNNNNNNNNNNNNNNNNNNNNNNNNNNNNNNNNNNNNNNNNNNNNNNNNNNNNNNNNNNNNNNNNNNNNNNNNNNNNNNNNNNNNNNNNNNNNNNNNNNNNNNNNNNNNNNNNNNNNNNNNNNNNNNNNNNNNNNNNNNNNNNNNNNNNNNNNNNNNNNNNNNNNNNNNNNNNNNNNNNNNNNNNNNNNNNNNNNNNNNNNNNNNNNNNNNNNNNNNNNNNNNNNNNNNNNNNNNNNNNNNNNNNNNNNNNNNNNNNNNNNNNNNNNNNNNNNNNNNNNNNNNNNNNNNNNNNNNNNNNNNNNNNNNNNNNNNNNNNNNNNNNNNNNNNNNNNNNNNNNNNNNNNNNNNNNNNNNNNNNNNNNNNNNNNNNNNNNNNNNNNNNNNNNNNNNNNNNNNNNNNNNNNNNNNNNNNNNNNNNNNNNNNNNNNNNNNNNNNNNNNNNNNNNNNNNNNNNNNNNNNNNNNNNNNNNNNNNNNNNNNNNNNNNNNNNNNNNNNNNNNNNNNNNNNNNNNNNNNNNNNNNNNNNNNNNNNNNNNNNNNNNNNNNNNNNNNNNNNNNNNNNNNNNNNNNNNNNNNNNNNNNNNNNGGCCUCGGGGGCCCGGGGCGGGCUCCGCGGGCCGGCAGUGAUGUGGGCGCGGGCUCACCCACGUGGCAGUCCCUGAUUCGCCGGGGCGCGGCGGCGGACGCGUCCGGCUCCAUCCGGACAUGUCCGGCGGCGCGGGGAAGGAUUUUUUUAGGGUUUGCCCGUGAAUUUCGGAGGGGGAGGCAUAUAUAUAGGUAAAGGGAGCUAGGAGUGUCCAAAUGAGGUGCGGUUUUCGCCCACACGAUCGUGAUCGAAUGACCGAGAGCAUGGAGGGGAGUUAGAUGGGUUAUUGGGCCGUUUUGGAGGGGUGUUGGGCUGCAACUUAAAAGAGGCCUUGCUGGAUAUGCGGACAACCGUUGGAGUACCAAACGAGCUCCAAAUGACCCGAAACUUGACAGGUGGUCUACCGGUGCUAUACCAGGGCCACUUGGCAAGGCUCGGUCCAUUCCGAGAACGUUUAACACCCGCACACGAAAAGAGACAAGAGGGGUGCGCCGGUGCAUGUGGGAGUGUCGGAUUGCGAAACGGACAACGGGGAAAAUGCUCGGAUGCAUGAGAUGAACACGUAUGCAAAAUGAAAUGCACAUGAUGACAUGAUAUGAUAUGCAUGACAUGAAUAAGAUGCAAAACAAAAGAGAAAACCCAACCGCGGAGGGAAUAUCAUAUCACAUAGCCGAAAAUGGCAAGAGUUGGAGAUACAAAGAUGGAAAGUUACAUCCGGGGUGUUACACACGGUGACCUCCAAGACGCCAACACCGGCGCCCACGGCGCGCUCUUCUCAGGUUGUGCGUGAUAAGCAGCAUCACCCUGCUGGUGACCCUGUGCCACCCAGGGAAGACUCGUGCGACCAUCACAUGAUGAGGAGGGCCAGCAUGCGCGCUGAGGUGCUGACGGAGGUGGUGAACGGCUGCGGGGCCAUGACGCAGCUCCUUCUAACAUGGUUAGAAGUCGAGGCGCAUCACGGUCCACCCACCUUUCGCCGCCACCCACGCCAGCGGAAGCCCUAGCACGCGCGCAGCUGCUCCUCGAUUUUCCUCCUGCCGUGGAGAAGCUCGACGAAUGGAGGGCCACCGUCCGGAGCCUCGUCGGCAUCGCCAACAACGAUGAGUUGCGGCCGGCGGGACCCGUAUGUCGUCGCUACGCCGGGCCACCGCAGGCCAGCAAAGGCCAUGCCGGAGGCGAUGCGGCCACGGUGCACUCCCCACCUCCAUCCCGGCCACCCCGGGCGUUGGUCCGUCACGACGACGCUUGUGAUGAUAUCUCCAUCGCGUCGUCCGACCCGCGAACCAACCGCGAUCAGCGUCAAGUCCUUCGGGAGCGGGCUCAUGAGGACGCUCGAACUACCAUCGAGCGCCGACGUGACGCGCACCACCAGUCGGACAGGCGAGUAGGGCCCGCUAUGGACCACCCAGCGCCGGGAGGCUACGGUGGCCUACCCUACGAGGUGGGUUGUCCAGCUUUCACCCGUGAGCUGCGGCAGUUCCAGUGGCCCUCCCAUCGUACGUUCAAGCCUGACGUUGGCGAGAAGUACAACGGCAAGACUCACCCGUCAGAGUUCCUCAGCAUCUACACCAUCAUAAUUCAAGCUGCUGGGGCCCGCGACGAUAAGGUGCUUGCCAACUACUUCCUGUUUGCACUCAAGCCUAAUGUUAUGUCAUGGUUGAUGCACUUGCCGAUGGAUUCCAUCUCUUCGUGGGCGGAUCUGUGCCAUGAGUUUGUUGGCGCCUUUACCGGAGGUCGCCAAGUUCAUGGCCAGGCGAGUGAUUUACAUGUCAUCCCCCAGAAGGAAGGAGAAAACUUGCGCAAGUACCUCCAAAGGUUCAGCCGCGUGCAGUACAACAUCCCCGAUGUUCAUCCCGCCGUCGUGAUCAGUGCGUUCCACUAGAAUGUUGAUACGUCUCCAACGUAUCUAUAAUUUUCGAUUGUUCCAUGCUAUUAUAUUACCCCUUUUGGAUGUUUAUGGGCUUUAUUUUACACAUUUAUAUCAUUUUUGGGACUAACCUACUAACCGGAGGCCCAACCCAUAUUGUUGUUUUUUGCCUAUUUCAGUAUUUCGAAGAAAAGGAAUAUCAAACGGAGUCCAAAUGGAAUGAAACCCUCGGGAGCGUUAUUUUUGGAACAAAUCUGAUCCGGACAGCUUGGAGUGCAAGUCAAGAAGCCUUCGAGGGCCCCAUGAGAUAGGAGGGAACCCCCCUGUAGGGCGCGCCCCCCUGUCUUGUGGGCCCCUCGGGCGGCCACCGACGUACUUCUUCCUCCUAUAUAUACCUACGUACCCCGAAAACAUCCAGGAGCACCACGAAACACAAUUUCCACCGUCGUAACCUUCUGUAUCCGCGAGAUCCCAUCUUGGAGCCCUUGUCGGCACUCUGCCGGAGGGGGAAGCAACCACCGAGGGCCUCUACAUCAACAUCCUUGCCCCUCCGAUGAGUUGUGAGUAGUUUACCACGGACCUACGGGUCCAUAGUUAUUAUCUAGAUGGCUUCUUCUCUCUUUUUGGAUCUCAAUACAAUGUUCUCCCCCUCUCUUGUGGAGAUCUAUUCGAUGUAAUCUCUUUUUGCGGUGUGUUUGUCGAGAUCCGAUGAAUUGUGGGUUUAUGAUCAAGUUUAUCUAUGAAUAAUAUUUGAAUCUUCUCUGAAUUCUUUUAUGUAUGAUUGAGUUAUCUUUGCAAGUCUCUUUGAAUUAUCAGUUUGGUUUGGCCUACUAGAUUGAUCUUUCUUGCCAUGGGAGAAGUGCUUAGCUUUGGGUUCAAUCUUGUGGUGUUCUUACCCAGUGACAGAAGGGGUUGCAAGACACGUAUUGUAUUGUUGCCAUCGAGGAUAACAAGAUGGGUUUUAUAUCAUAUUGCAUGUGUUUAUCCCUCUACAUCAUGUCAUCUUGCUUAAUGCGUUACUCUGUUACUUAAUACUCUAGAUGCAGGCAGGAGUCGGUCGAUGUGUGGAGUAAUAGUAGUAGAUGCAGCCAGGAGUCGGUCUACUUGUUAUGGACGUGAUGCCUAUAUACAUGAUCAUGCCUAGAUAAUCUCAUAACUAUGCGCUUUUCUAUCAAUUGCUCGACAGUAAUUUGUUCACCCAUCGUAAUACUUAUGCUAUCUUGAGAGAAGCCUCUAGUGAAACCUAUGGCCCCUGGGUCUAUCUCUUAUCAUAUUUGCUUUCAAUCUACUUUAUUUGCAUCUUUACUUUUUGCAUCUAUAUUAUAAAAUACCAAAAAUAUAUUUAUCUUAUCAUACUAUCUUUAUUAGAUCUCACUUUCGCAAGUGGCAGUGAAGGGAUUGACAACCCCUUUAUUGCGUUGGUUGCAAGUUCUCAGUUUGUUUUUGUAGGUGCGUGGGACUUUUGAGGAGCCUCCUACUGGAUUGAUACCUUGGUUCUCAAAACUGAGGGAAAUACUUACGCUACACUUUGCUGCAUCACCCUUUCCUCUUCGAGGAAAACCAACGCAAGCUCAAGACGCAGCAAGAAGGAUUUCUGGCGCCGUUGCCGGGGAGGUCUUCGCUCAAGUCAAGACAUACCAAGUACCCAUCACAAACUCAUCUCCCUCGCAUUUACAUUAUUUGCCAUUUGCCUCUCGUUUUCCUCUCCCCCACUUCACCCUUGCCGUUUUAUUCGCCCUCUCUUUCCCAAUCUCCUCCUCUCUUUUUGCUUGCCAUUUUCUGUUUGCUCGUGUGUUAGUUCGUUUACCUUGUCGUUAUGGCUAGUCCUCCUAUUUUUAUUCUCACUCCCGAACAGGAAAUUCACAAUUUUAAACAAAGGGAGAGGGAAAGUUUAAAAGAUGCUUGGCAUAGAAUUUGCAAUGCCCAAUAUAAAGCUACUAGGAAGCUUGUUACUUCUGUUCUUCUCCGCAAUUUUAUGUAGGCAUUACUCCUUGGAAUAGAUGUGUUCUUGAUAUUUCUACCGGAGGUGAUUUUAUGAGUAGCCAUACUUUUGAUGCUUAUAAUGCUAUGUUAGAUUUGUUUGGCCCACCACCUCUUUUGGUUAAUGGAACGGUUUUAACUCUAGAACAUGUGAUGCAACGGCUUGAUAUUAUUAAAAAUAAGAUUGCCACUGUUGAGUUGAUUCAUAAUCACAUUACCCAAUUUGGAUCUAGGGUUGGAGUUACUUUGAAUUUUUUUUUAAAGAAAAAGAACCUAUAGUCAAUGAAAAAAUAGAUCUAGAUUCUGCUAGAAUCGGUAAACUUGAGGAUAUCAUUACAAACUUAGGUUCCGCGUUUUCCCCCAAGAAAAACACUCCAAAACCCCCUACUAAAAUUGCCAAGUUUAUUUAUGUUCCUAAAAAUAAGGGUGAAUCUUCUAGGGGAGACGCAGAUCUCAAAUCUAUAAGUGUUCUUCCAAAUUGUGUCUCUAUCGUUAAAGAACCUUAUGCUACCAAUGAAUUUCUUGAAUUUUUGCCUAAAGGAUUAGCUAUUGCUAAAAGGGGAGAAAUCCCUAGAGAUCACAAGCGCUCUAUGGAUGAAUUUAGUGCCAAAGAUGGCACUCGUUAGAUCUAUCUUUGCUUUUUAUGCCUAGCUAGGGGCGUUAAACAAUAGCGCUAGUUGGGAGGCAACUCAAUUUUCUUUAUGUUUUUUGUUUUUGCUCCUGUUUAGUAAUAAAUCUUGCAUCUACCUUCUGUUUAGAUGUGUUUUUAUCUUUUAAUUAGUGUUUGUGCCAAGUAGAACCUAUAGGAUAACCUACGAUGAUAGUUGAUUUGAUUCUGCUGAAAAACAUAAACUUUGCGCGCACGAAUAUAAUUUUGUUAAUUCACAGGAAUGUGCUUUUGCAUUGAUUCUUUUUCUGCUGUUCAAUAUACAAAUUUUCCAGGACUUCCUAUUUUGGUAGGAUUUUUAGAGUUCCAGAAGUUUGCGUUAGUUACAUAUUGCUACAGACUGUUCUGUUUUUGACAGAUUCUGUUUUUCGUGUGUUGUUUGCUUAUUUCAAUGCAUCUAUGGCUAGUAAUUCAGUCUAUGAACCAUAAAGAAGUUGGAAUACAGUAGGUUUAACAACAAAAUAAAUAAAGAAUGAGUUCAUGGCAGUACCUUAUGUGGUGGUUUUGUUUUCUUUCACUAACGGAGCAUAUAAGAUUUCCUGUUGAGUUUUGUGUUGUGAAGUUUUCAAGUUUUCGGUAAAGCUUUUAUGGACUAUGGAAUAAGGAGUGGCAAGAGCCUAAACUUGGGGAUGCUCAUGGCACCCCAAGAUAUUCAAGGAUAGCCAAAAGCCUAAGCUUGGGGAUGCCCCGGGAAGGCACCCCCUCUUUCGUCUUCGUUCAUUGGUAACUUUACUUGGAGCUAUAUUUUUAUUUGCUACAUGAUAUGUGUUUUGCUUGGAGCAUCGUGUAUUACAUUAGUGUUUGCUUUUUAGUUUACCACAAUCAUCCUUUCUGUACACACCUUUUGGGAGAAGCCUAUUUGAUUAGAAUUUGCUAGAAUACUCUAUGUGCUUCACUUAUAUCUUUUGAGCUUGAUAGUUUUUGCUCUAGUGCUUCACUUAUAUCUUUUAGAGCACGGUGGUGUCUUAAUUUUGAAGAAAUUGCUAGUCUCUCAUGCUUCACUUAUAUUAUUUUGAGAGUCUUUUAGAACAGCAUGGUAUUUUGCUAUUAUCAUAAAGUUGGCCCUAGAAUGAUGAGCAUCCAAGUUGGGUAUAAUAAAAACUAUCAUAGAAAGUGAAUUGGAUGCUAUGAUUAAUUUGAUGCUUUAUAAUUGUUUUGAGAUAUGGAGGUAGUGAUAUUAAAGUCAUGCUAGUUGGGUGAUUAUGAAUUUAAAGAAUUCUUGUGUUCAAGCUUGUGAUUCCCGUAGCAUGCACGUAUGGUGAACCGCUUUGUGAUGAAGUUGGAGCACAAUUUUAUUUAUUGAUUGUCUUCCUUAUGAGUGGCGGUCGGGGACGAGUGAUGGUAUUUUCCUACCAAUCUAUCCCCCUAGGAGAAUGCGCGUAGUACUUUGGUUUUUGAUGACUUCUAUAUUUUUGCAACAAGUAUAUGAGUUCCUUUGAUUAAUGUUGAGUCCAUGGAUUAUACGCACUCUUUCACCCUUCCACCAUUGCUAGACUCUCUUGUAUCGUGCAAUUUUCGCCGAUACCUUACACCCACCUUUUACCUUCCUCAAAACAGCCACCAUACCUACCUAUUUAUGGCAUUUCCAUAGCCAUUCCGAGAUAUAUUUCCAUGAAAAUUUCCACCGUUCCGUUUAUAUGACACACAUUACUUUUGUCAUAUUGCUUUUUGCAUGACCAUGUAGUUGACAUCGUAUUUGUGGCAAGGCCACCUUCAUAAUUUUCAUACAUGUCGCUUUUGAUUCAUUGCAUAUCCCGGUACACCGCUGGAGGCAUUCAUAUAGAGUCAUAUCUUGUUCUCUCUUUGAGUUGUAAAUCCAUAAAAGUGUGAUGAUCUUCAUUAUUAGAGCAUUGUCCUAGUGAGGAAAGGAUGAUGAAGACUAUGAUUCCCCCACAAGUCGGGAUGAGACUUCGGACUUUACAAAAGAAAAAAAAAGAGAAAAAAAAAGAGUAAGGCCAAAAAGAAAAAAAGAGAAAGGCCAAAAAGAAAAAAAAAGAAAAAAGGAAAAAAAUAAAUAAAAAAAUGAGAGCAAAAGAGAGAAGGGACAAUGCUACUAUCUCUUUUUCCACACUUGUGCUUCAAAAUAGCACCAUGAUCUUCAUGAUAAGAGAGUCUCAUAUGUUGUCACUUUCAUAUACUAGUGAGAAUUUUUCAUUAUAGAACUUGGCUUGUAUAUUCCAAUGAUGGGCUUCCUCAAAAGUGCCCUAGGUCUUCGUGAGCAAGCAAGUUGGAUGCACCCCACUUAGUUUCUUUUGUCGAGCUUUCAUAUAUUUAUAGCUCUAGUGCAUCCGUUGCAUAGCAAUCCCUACUCACUCACAUUGAUAUCUAUUAAUGGGCAUCUCCAUAGCCCGUUGAUACGCCUAGUUGAUGUGAGACUAUCUUCUCCUUUUUUGUCUUCUCCACAACCACCCUUCUAUUCCACAUAUAGUGCUAUGUCCAUGGCUCACACUCAUGUAUUGCAUGAAAGUUGAAAAAGUUUGAGAUUAUUAAAGUAUUAAACAAUUGCUUGGCUUGUCAUCGGGGUUGUGCAUGAUUAAAUACUUUGUGUGAUGAAGAUAGGGCAUAGCCAGACUAUAUAAUUUUGUAGGGAUAACUUUCUUUAGCCAUGGUAUUUUGAGAAGACAUGAUUACUUUGAUUAGUAUGCUUGAAGUAUUACUAUUUCUUAUGUCAAUAUGAACUUUUAUUUUGUAUUCAUUUGGAUCUGAACAUUCAUGCCACAAUAAAGAAAAUUACAUUAUGAAUUAUGCUAGGUAGCAUUCCACAUCAAAAAUUUCUUUUUUAUCAUUUACCUACUCAAGGACGAGCAGGAACUAAGCUUGGGGAUGCUUGAUACGUCUCCAACGUAUCUAUAAUUUUUGAUUGUUCCAUGCUAUUAUAUUACCCCUUUUGGAUGUUUAUGGUAUUUAUUUUACACAUUUAUAUCAUUUUUGGGACUAACCUACUAACCGGAGGCCCAACCCAUAUUGUUGUUUUUUUGCCUAUUUCAGUAUUUCGAAGAAAAGGAAUAUCAAGCGGAGUCCAAAUGGAAUGAAACCUUCGGGAGCGUUAUUUUUGGAACAAAUCUGAUCCGGAGAGCUUGGAGUGCAAGUCAAGAAGCCUCCGAGGGCCCCACGAGAUAGGAGGGCGCCCCCCCUUGUAGGGCGCGCCCCCUUGUCUCGUGGGCCCCUCGGGCGGCCACCGACGUACUUCUUCCUCCUAUAUAUACCUACGUACCCCAAAAACAUCCAGGAGCACCACGAAACACAAUUUCCACCGCCGUAACCUUCUGUAUCCGCGAGAUCCCAUCUUGGAGCCCUUGCCGGCACUCUGCCGAAGGGGGAAGCAACCACGGAGGGCCUCUACAACAACAUCCUUACCCCUCCAAUGAGUUGUGAGUAGUUUACCACAGACCUACGGGUCCAUAGUUAUUAGCUAGAUGGCUUCUUCUCUCUUUUUGGAUCUCAAUACAAUGUUCUCCCCCUCUCUUGUGGAGAUCUAUUCGAUGUAAUCUCUUUUUGUGGUGUGUUUUUCAAGAUCCGAUGAAUUGUGGGUUUAUGAUCAAGUUUAUCUAUGAAUAAUAUUUGAAUCUUCUCUGAAUUCUUUUAUGUAUGAUUGAGUUAUCCUUGCAAGUCUCUUCGAAUUAUCAGUUUGGUUUGGCCUACUAGAUUGAUCUUUCUUGCCAUGGGAGAAGUGCUUAGCUUUGGGUUCAAUCUUGCGGUAUUCUUACCCAGUGACAGAAAGGGUUGCAAAACACGUAUUGUAUUGUUACCAUCGAUGAUAACAAGAUGGGGUUUAUAUAAUAUUGCAUGUGUUUAUCCCUCUAGAUCAUGUCAUCUUGCUUAAUGCAUUACUCUGUUCUUAUGAACUUAAUACUCUAGAUGCAGGCAGGAGUCUGUCGAUGUGUGGAGCAAUAGUAGUAGAUGCAGGCAGGAGUCAGUCUACUUGUUAUGGACAUGAUGCCUAUAUACAUGAUCAUGCCUAGAUAAUCUCAUAACUAUGCGCUUUUCUAUCAAUUGCUCGACAGUAAUUUGUUCACCCAUCGUAAUACUUAUGCUUCACUUGAGAGAAGCCUCUAGUGAAACCUAUGGCCCCCGGGUCUAUCUCUUAUCAUAUUUGCUUUCAAUCUAAUUUAUUUGCAUCUUUACUUUUUGCAUCUAUAUUAUAAAAUACCAAAAAUAUAUUUAUCUUAUCAUACUAUCUUUAUUAGAUCUCACUUUCGCAAGUGGCAGUGAAGGGAUUAACAACCCCUUUAUUGCGUUGGUUGCGAGUUCUCAGUUUGUUUGUGUAGGUGCGUGGGACUUUUGAGGAGCCUCCUACUGGAUUGAUACCUUGGUUCUCAAAACUGAGGGAAAUACUUACGCUACACUUUGCUGCAUCACCCUCUCCUCUUCGAGGAAAACCAACGCAAGCUCAAGACAUAGCAAAUGUGCGCAACCGCAAGAUGCGCGAAGAGCUGGCGAUGAACAAGGUCAAGGAUGUGGCCGAGCUUUAUGUUCUGGCCCGAUCGAUGCGCUCACGCUGAAGAGGGAAGGAAGUACCCCAGCGAAGAUGUCGGCGCGGAAACCGACUCCACUAGCGACACCGCCACCCCAGCGAAGAAGGGCCGACGCCGUAACAGGAAGCGCAAGGGCAAGGCCGUGCUUGCCGUCGAGGGAUCUGACGACAUCGGCGCCACCAAGAAGACCAAGGCGAGCGACCCCAGCAAGGAGGUUGCCGGGUGUGUCGCUUGCCGGGCCUUGGCGGCCGCCGACAAGCCAGGAGGCUCCGACAAGCAGUACUGCAAGAUCCACCGCACCCAGGGCCAUGACCUCCAAAACUGUCGGCAGGUAGAGCUGCUCGCCGAGAAGCAGAAAGCCGAGUAUGAGCGGCGGGACAAGGAGAAAGGCCUAGAUGGUGCCGAGGGAUCCGGCAAGAAACAUGGCGGCCAAGGAGGCCGUCGCGGCAAGGAUAAUCAGCAGGAGAGGCCCGCUCGAGGACGCGACAAGAAGCAGGAAGACGAUGAUCAUGACGAAGACGAUGAGUCCGGUGACCAUGAGUUUCAGAAAGCCACAGAGGCCAUGUGCGUCGAUGGUGGCGCCUCGCUGCAUACGUCCCACCGCCAACUCAAGCAGUGGGCGCGUGAGAUCACGGUGGUGGAGCCAUCGUUCGACACACGGAAGCCACUGAAAUGGUCCAGCACGCCCAUCAUCUUCGACACCGAGGACCACCUGACCGCACUACUGCGGUCGGGUGCUUGCCAUUGUUGGUUUCACCAACAAUCCGCAACCUCAAGGUGACAAAGAUGUUGGUUGACGGCGGGGCCGGCCUAAACUUGAUAUCGCCUGUUGUGGUCAAAAGGCUAGAGAUCCCUGAUGGAGACCUCAAGGAAAUGGGCACGUUCCAAGGGGUUAACCCGGGGAGGAGCCAGCCAAAGGGAAAAGUCAUGCUGCCCGUGACAUUCAGAGGCGAGCUGAACCACAGGGCGGAAAGGCUUGUUUUCGAUGUAGCCGAGAUCCCCUUGCCUUACAACGGGAUCCUCGGCCGCCCGGCACUAGCCAAGUUCAUGGCGGCUUCACACUACGCGUACAACAUGCUGAAGAUGCCCGGGCCGAUGAACAUCAUCACCAUCCCCUCCGACAAGAAAGAUGCGCUGAUCUACGCCGACCAACUCUACCGAGAAGCAGUUGCAGCAGCUGCCUCUAAGGCACCUGCUCCUACCGACGGAGCGGGGAAGAAGACCGGCGAGACCCCUCGCACCCACUCCGGCAAGCGCACCUCUUCGGGGUGUUGCGCUCCCGUUGAGGACGUGCCAGAGAGCUCCGCCGGCAAGAGCAAGAAGUCCAGUGCCACACCACCAGCGACCAAGAAGGUGCCCGUCAAGGAGGACGGCACGGGGGGAGCUUUUACCAUAGGCUCCACCCUCGACGGCAAAUAGGAAAGUGAGCUCGUCACCUUCCUGCGGGAGAAUGUCGAUGUGUUUGCAUGGCAAGCCUCCGACAUCCCCGGCGUUCCCAGGGAGGUGAUUGAGCACCACCUUGCUGUCUGUCCUCAUGCGUGGCCCGUCAAGCAGAAGGUCAGGAACCAAGCUCUAGAGAGGCAGGAGUUCAUCACGGAAGAAAUCAGAAAGCUAGAGGCGGCGGGCUUGGUGAGAGGAGUACUCCAUCCGACGUGGUUGGCCAAUCCGGUAGUAGUGCGCAAGGCGAAUGGGAAGUGGAGGCUGUGUAUUGAUUACAUAGACAUCAAUAAGGCCUGUCCAAAGGAUCCCUUCCCGUUGUCGUGCAUCGACCAGAUUGUUGACUCCACGGCUGGGUGUGACCUGUUAUGAUUCCUCGACGCCUACUCAGGGUACCACCAGAUCUUCAUGACGAAAGAGGACGAGGAAAAUACAACAUUCAUCACCCCAUGUGGUACGCACUGCUUUUUAUGGAUGUCUUUUGGGUUGAAGAGUGCUGGCUCAAUCUUUGCAAGAGCGGUCCAAAUUGGUUUUGAACCCCGGCUACAUAGAAAUAUGGAAGCUUAUAUGGAUGAUAUAGUGGUCAAAACCAAGGAUAAAGCUACACUUGUGCCAGAUCUGGAGGAAACAUUCGGAAACCUGCGCAAGAUCAACCUCAAGUUAAACCCUGAGAAGUGUCUCUUCGGUGUCCCGUCCGGCAAGCUUCUCGGGUUCUUUGUGUCGCAGCGCGGGAUUGAGGCAAACCCAGACAAGAUUAGGGCCAUCAAGCAGAUUGAGGCGCCCAAACGGAUCAAGGACAUGCGUCGGCUCACUGGCUGCGUUGCCGCCAUGAGCAGAUUCAUCUCCAAAUCCGCGGAGUGUGCCCUCCCCUCUUUCAAGAUCUUAAAGAAGACGGGCCCAGUGGAGUGGACCCCAGUGGCCGAGGCGGCGUUGCAAGACUUGAAGAAGUACCUCUCCUCUGCCCCGGUGUUGGUUGCGCCCAAACUACAAGAAUCGUUGCUGCUAUAUCUAGCGGCAACAAACCAAGUGGUUAGCGCCGCAUUGGUGGUGCAGAGAGAGGUCGACAAGGAGACAGCAGCAGCGGCAGAGUCAACGGUUGGCGGGCUAGAACCUCCCCGACAGGGCUCAAUCCCGGCAAGACUGAGUCCCUGGUAGGGCCCGGUCCCGGCAAGACUAGCACCAGUACGACAGGACCCGCACGGCCAGGUGGAGUGGCACAAAGGAAGAAGAUGGUGCAGCACCCGGUUUACUUCGUCAGCUCCCUCUUGCAGGGAGCUAGGUCGAGGUAUUCAGGUGUGCAAAAAUUGCUCUUCGGCCUCCUUAUGGCCUCGAGGAAGCUGCGCCACUACUUCCAAGCGCACGAGAUCACCGUGGUUACCCGCCUUCCGCUGUAACGGAUACUGCAUAACCCAGAUGCAACAGGAAGGAUCGUAGAAUGGUCCCUGGAGCUGUCAAGUUUUGGUCUAAAGUUUGAAAGUACCUAGACGAUCCAGAGCAGAGUCUUGGUGGAGUUUGUGGCAGAAUGGACCUCGACGCCUGACAAAGAGGUACAGGAGACUACUCUCCCCGGCGAGGAAACAAGCGGCAACUGGAUCAUGUACUUUGAUGGGGCCUUUUCGCUGCAAGGCGCCGGUGCUGGUGUGCUGCUUGUCGCACACACCGGAGAGCACCUCAAGUACGUCAUCCAAAUGCACUUUCCCCGGGAGAUGUCAACCAACAACACCGCCGAGUAUGAGGGUUUGCUUGCCGGUCUCAGGAUCACGGCGGACCUCGGAGUUAAAAAGCUCAUCGUCAAGGGCGACUCGCAACUCGUCGUCAAGCAGGAACAAAGAUUAUCAAAGCCCAUUGAUGGAAGCUUACGUAGAUGAGGUGAGGAAACUGGAGGAGCGCUUUGACGGUAUACAAGCGGAGCAUGUCCCUCGGACGGAGAACGACAUCGCUGACUACCUAUCAAAGCAUGCUGCCCUCAAGCUACCUAUGAACCAGGUACUUCUUUGCUUCAGUUAACUCAACCAUCCGUUGAGCCGUCGACCGAGCAGAACAAGCGGAGGAAGCUAGGCUCCGGCAAGUACUUCCCCACCGAGCUCCCCGGAGCCGCUAGCGAAGAUGUUGCCGUGGAUGCCGAUCCCGCCAAGGGACAACCAACUCCGGCAGGACCUCAGGUCAUGGCCGUGGAGACGGCCGCUCCCAUGGCAGAAGAGAUGCCUUUGGUCCUUGUCGUCGAGCCACAGGCUCCGGCAUGGGCACAGCACACCGUCCGAUUCCUUUAAAAAGGAGAGCUUCCUGAGGAGCAGGAAGAGGCAGAAAGAGUAGCCCGCCGGUCUGCUCUGUACCAAUUCGUUGAUAACGUAUUGUACAGAAAAAGACCGAAUGGGGUGAAAUUGAAGUGCAUCUCCCGGGAAGAAGGAAUAAAGCUGUUGGCAGAGAUACAUGGGGGCAUAUAUGGCUCCCACAUAGGGUCGAGGGCCCUUGCCGGCAAGGCUUUCCGGCAAGGUUUCUUCUGGCCCACCGCCCUCCAGGAUGCGAUGACACUAGUAACCAAGUGUGAAGCGUGCCAGUUCCAUUCGAAGAAGCUUCAUCAACCAGCUCAAGCCCUUCAAACUAUCCCUCUCUCCUAGCCCUUCUCGGUUUGGGGGGUCGACAUAUUGGGCCCCUUCCCCCGUGCUGUCGGGGGCUUUGAGUACUUGUACGUCGCAAUCGACAAGUUAACAAAAUGGCUAGAAGUGGAAGCAGUGAGGAAGGUGACGACGCAGUCAGCCAUCAAGUUCUUCAAGGGACUAGUGUGCCGUUUUGGGAUACCCAACAGGAUCAUCACCGACAAUGGCACACAGUUCACAAGCCACGCCUUCAUGCAAUACAUUGAGGAUCUCGGCAGCAGGGUCUGUUUUUCCUCCAUGGCACAUCCACGGAGCAACGGCCAAGCUGAGAGAGAAAAUGCUGAAGUCCUGCGAGGCUUAAGAACGAAGAUUUUUGACAGGCUGCGCGAAAGUGGAAGACGUUGGAUUGAUGAGUUGCCGAUGGUUCUUUGGUCGAUCAGAACGACGCCAAAUCGAGCCACCGGCCAGACACCCUUUGCCCUGGUCUACGGGGCAGAAGCAGUUCUCCCCACGGAACUCAUAUACGGGUCACCUCGAGUGCUCGCUUAUGAUGAGCUUGAGCAAGAGCGAUUGCAGCAAGAUGACACAACGCUCCUUGAGGAAGAUCGUCUCCAGGAAGCUGUGAGAGCAGCACGCUACCAUAAAGCCUUGCGCUGCUACCAUAGCCGCAAGGUCCAUGCCCGGAGCCUUGAGGAAGGCAACCUUGUUCUUCGGCAUGUUCAGUCGGCCAAGAAUUCCAACAAGUUGACGCCAAAAUGGGAAGGCCCUUAUCAGGUAACACGAAUCUCCAGGCCCGGCGCAGUCUGCCUGGAGACCGAAGAUGCCGUUCCAGUGAGUAACUCCUGGAACAUCGAGCAUCUUCGCAAGUUUUACCCAUAAGGCACGGCUGUCGGGCCUCCUGGCAAGCCACCUUUUUGUACAAGCCUUGCCGGCAAGGCAUGUAACCCUUUGUACAAAGCCAGGCGCAGACCCUAAGCACUAUGAAAAUGAAGCGCUGGCGCCCUAAGUUAUAGCGUGCAUGCUAGGUCGAGUCUCCUCCUCGGUUAGGGUUGAUAGUGCUAGGCAGCGGCUAACCUCUAGCUUAGAGGUUGAGUGUGCAUCUCUCUGUUUCUUCCCUGUCCUUUUUAAUUCGCAGGACACGUAAGUAUUUCUGCCAAGCUGUUUGGAAGAGAGGAACGGACCGGUGCCCCGACCCCGGCAAGCCAAGGUUGCCGGGGGAUGCAAAUACAAGGAUCCGUCCAUGGUAAGCCAAGGUUGCUGGGGGCUGCAAAUCCAGAUAAGUCUUUUAUCCUCUAUCAUGCAUUUCGUUAUGAACUGGGGUAUGUGGAACCGCGUUUUAUAUCCAAGCUACCAUGCUCCCCUCUUUCCGAACCCAAGGAUUAUCCCCUGGGUCUGAAUUUGGUCGUAGUCGCGGCAGCAAGGGGAUAGAACGUGGAGCCCAAACUCAUCUCAUCCUUGCCUCGCCAAGAACAUGAGAAAGGUCGAGCGAGAUGGGGGAACGGCGAGGCCUGUUGCCGAGCGAAAAACGUUUACUUUAGAUGGCAACAAGGAUUCGAUCCUUGCCGUGGGUUUCACCCACGAACGAAAAGCCCGGCAAACAUCCCUUUUUCAUUAAAAACAUCCCGUACAGGUACAGUUCAUACGGAAUGAAAAACAUGAACAGGGGGAUUACAAGUUCUAAAUUCAACAAAGGCCCGAAGGCUUACAGGACUAAAAAGAGAUAAGGUGCCCGUAAUCCCUUUCUUCUCCCUUUCCUCGGGAAAUGGAGCAAGAAGGCAAAAGGGCAAAAGGGGCGCCUAGGCGAAGCACGAGCAGCAAAAGGCACCAGGAGAACAUCCCGGUGGCCACCCCAAAGGGAGGCUAGUGAUGAUGAUGACGGUAGAAGAGCUGGAAGACGAGGCGGCAGGACUGUGAAUACGCUACGAAGGCGUCGGUGCCCGCGUACUCUGACUUGACGGCCUUGCUGCCCGCCCUCUUCCUCUAACACAGCCUCCCCACGCCAGCCGCCCAAGGAGGCGACCCCGAGAAGUUCAAGGAGCCGGCAACACGGGUGAUGGGGUCGCCGGUUCCAUCCGGAGCGGCGGCCGACACCUAGUCGGGCUCGUCAUCCUACCGCCCGCUACCCUCGUCGUCGCUGCCGCUGUCCUCCUCGUCACCCUCGCUCGAGGAGGAAUUUUCAUCGUCGGAGGAGCUCUCCACGCAGCACCUUACGCGAGUCCCGAAGUGCCCGAAGAUCUUGACGGAGAGGAGGCCACCCUCCAUUAAUUUAAAAUGGAGAGUGAGCCCCUCCAUCAAGCUAUGGACGCGGGUGAAGGUCUUCCACCCUCGACGGAGGUACAUGACGUGAGGGGCGGGAAACUCAACAUCGGCCCAUAUGCCGCUGUUCCCACAACCCCUCAUAUGCAACCGCAACGCCUGCGGUGGAUCCACCUCCAUCUCCCGCGCAAACGGAGUCGGGAGGCAAAGACGACGGCGCGGUGGCUGGCGCAGCCUGAUGAAGAACUCACAAGGGUUGUCCCCGACGUGGCCCUCUACCGGAGGAGGGGCCGCUGGCGGAGGCGAAGCCGAUCUGCCGCCCUGUUCUCCUCUCUCUCGAGCGCCACGGCAGCCUCGACCUCGCCCCCUCCCCCUCCCUCUAACAGGCGGCUCCGCCACCACGAGCUCUGGGGGAGGAGCAAUGCAUUGUCGAGCCGAGACCCUCGCUGCCACCGAUGAAGCGUCGCCACGCCCCCUCGCCAUGGCAGAAGAAAGGAGGAAGGAGGAAUGGGGAGAGGCAGAUGGCGAAGGGUUGAGAGGCACCGCUCCUCCCGCUCCCCUCUUUAUAAAGGGGCGGGGCGAGGCUCGACCGCCCCCUUUUGGCCAAUCCGGCCCGUUGAAGUGACAGCAAGCUGGGCCUUUGACCGCCCUCCCUGCUCCAUUGAAGGCGCGUGUGAAUCGACCCACGCACGCGCAUGACUUCCCACAUCCUGCGCGCCUGUCAUUCACCCUGCAUCGUGCAUGCAGCGAACGUGGCGCAAGGGAUAGGCGCAGUGGGACGCGUGGAGCGACGGUUCCCAAACGAGGGCAGUAAAUGAGCAGCAACCCUGCGGUCUCAAAGAGACACACAAGCCGCCUCUUUACUGUCCACCAUGGGAUGACGCCAGCAUGCUUCCUUCAUGCACGCGUCCGACCCCCACGUCGUGCGUUCAAUGCGGGUCGUAGGGAAGCUCAGCGGACGGAACAGUUACCGCCGUAAAAAUCAACCCCAACUGCCCGCGCACCAUUCUGGGCCUGGCCCAAUAAUGUGUUGCGUUUAUGCAUGGCCCGGGCCCGGGGGCUCCUGUCGAUGUACCAAAGUAGGGCCUCUCCUUUUGACCCCUUUACUUGUGCACGGGCAGUCAGAGCCACCCGCCACGGCCACGCAUAACAGGGCAGGAAAGGGAAGCCGGAGAGAAGCCGAAGGCACAAGGCAAACUAAGCAACGACAAGGACCAAGGCCACAAAGAUCAGAUGGAUGAAGCAGGUUUCCCCGGCAAAGAGCCUUGCUGGGGCAGCCUCAGCGGCCCCGGCAAGACCCUUGCCGGGGCAGCUCGCCCACACCAGCUGAGCGAGCCACCUUUGAGCCCACCAACACUAGACAAAUGCAUUGGGACAGGGCUCGGGAGGCACCUCCGUGGUGGCAUGCAGAUCUUUGUGAAGACAAAGAAUAGUCAAGAUCAAAUGAGGAUAGGAAGGCAACAAUCCUCGGCAGGGUUCUUACCGAGGAAGCCCACGAGACCCCGGCAAGGUCCUUGCCGGGGAUGACGGCGUGCCGCGGCAAGACCCUUGCCGGGCCUCCCGGCAAGGCCCUCGCCAAGCGCGCCAGCAGGGCCACUGCCAGGCCCACACCAGCCAAGUCUCCGCCGCCGUUCGCAUGCAGCUACCAACCCAACCAGCUGGGCAGGCACCUGCGUGGCGACAUGCAGCCCUUCGUGGAGGCUCCACCAUCGCACCACCUCAGCUGCCUGCCUGCCUACAUGGCACCACAUGCAUCGCUGGCCAGGGCGCGUGUCAAAGCAAGGAGGAGCGGCGACGGACGGGACGGGCCUCGCUCCCGUCCCCGAUAAAGUGAAGGGACACCUAAGCCUCACAUUAAAUGCACUUUGUCCUGUAAUACCAGUGAUAAGCUCACAGCGCUGUAGCACUUUCCACCUCCUGUGUGCCACUAUGCCAGCCCCUUUCGCCUAUAAAAGGAGGCCCAUGGCGCACUGGAGAGGGAUUCGGCUCUUUCGAACUUGGCAACACCCAGAGCUAGUUCAAGAGCUCAAGUACACUAAAUACAUCCACCAAAGCAGGAUCGUAGGGUUUUACGCAUCUUUGCGGCCCGAACCUAGGUAAAUCCCCUUUGUGCUGUCUACUAGUCCCGCUCUACUCACGAUCCCCGCACCCCGCAACCGUAGUAGGGAUUCCAGUGAUCCCAUAGGUGUCGUUUCCCGCCGACACCGAAGAUGAUCGACGGGCUACACGCAGAGUGCGGAGGCGCUAUAAUAAGCAAAGGUGUCGACGCCCUAUGGCCAAAGGGUUCCUUCCCGGAGGUGUCCGACUUAUGGCAACGGGAGUGGUUCUACAUCACAGCACCCCGAGGUACAAAGCGGGCAGUCGCCCCAGCCUUCCGCUCGGGACCUCCGCCCCAACUGGCAUCAUGGGUCAACAAAGGGUUGGACUAAGGGUCAGUUAAUGACGUGCUGACAUUGCAAAGCCGCAUUUGAGAUCUCCUCAAGAGGGAUGUCAGUCUCGUCAAAAUAAUUCAAGUAAUGCUAGUUCGUCGGGUCCUGCCAUGCCAACGUCUAUCUCUUCGUAUGUGGGAAUUCAAUCCGGAAAGACCGCAAACUGUUCAAAACUUCUUCGUCGUGACGCUCGAAGGGAUGUAUCGACUAUUCUUUGGAUCACGAAUAAAGUGUCCGGACACCACCGAGGAUGCGGAUCUGAACUGCAACUAUCCAGAUACCCAAGUAAGUAACUCCGCGACCGAACAUGAUGUCUUUAUAUUUUUCACAACAUUAUUCUAAAAAACUACCCUCGGCCAGGACUGGAUAAGAAAGGCAGAGAGGAUCAGGUGUUCGGUCCCUCUUCCUGAAGGCUCGCCGGAUCCUUUACUAACCAGGAUGCUGGCUUGUGCACCCUAUCAAGUGCCAUCAGGAGAAGGUGAGGGGAGGAAUAGAGAAGCCGAAAGCGGGCUUCAUACAUUACACAUCCAAACUGAGGGAAUUAGUGCCUCCGUGAAGGAGGGUGAUCAGGAAGGUGAAUCUAAAAUCCCCUCUCCCCACGGGAAGAAAGGGACCGCCUCUGAAGACUUGGAAACGGAGGUUUCCAAAUGAGGGAAGAAUCCUUCGCCAGGGGGCCCUGCCUCGGAGGGCGUCCUUACCGUACAACGCCCCCAAGGGGGCCAGCCAUCAACCGAGCCGUAAGUGAACAAAGGCACUUUGGUAAAUAUAUCCUGCUUUUUCUCUGAGAAUAACAACCGAGACAUAUGUUUUGUAGUCCGGCUCAUAGCCCUUCUCAACAAAGUUUGUCUUCGGGGGAUCUUCUUCCGGAGAUGAUGGAGAGCAAAACGCCUCCCCCCGCUUCCCCGCCUCGUGAGACGGACAACCCUGAGGUGUCGUCGUGGAGGAUUUCUCCUGAUCCGCAAAGGCUAGAAGGUAACUCUUCAGCCGCCCGAAGUCCAGGGUUUUCGGCUCCUAAGGAGACCAACAGAAAAAAGCCCGGGACUAUCCGGUGUACAACCAGACACAUUGAUGGAUCUUUUGGAGCAAGCGGCUAUCUUAGAGACACAUCGUACCUUAAUGGGUACGGUGGUUGAGAGGAUCUCCUCCGCCAAAAGCGGGUUGAAUGAAGCUUUUACGAGCCUACUAAGAGGCUUUGAGGUACGCAAAGUAAUAUAUAUAUAUAUAUAUAUUUGACUGUACCGCACAUGCUAGGUGUGCUCUGUAUAGAUAGUAGCCUCUGAGACUCUGGUUACUGUCCAGAGGUGGCAAGCGGAGGAUCAUAGUCUCAGGUAAUAAUAGCACUAUUUUUCUGCGCAGGCGGCUGCAGAUCUGGUGACUGGCCAAACUACUAAUUUUGCCGAAUUGAGACGGCAGCUUGACGUGGCGGAUGCGGACAUCACGCUUGUGAACAAGCAGCUUGACGAGGCACAGGGUAUGUAUAUUUGGAUGGUCAGCAAAUGUUAAGAGGAGCAUGAUGCUAGUAUCUAUAACAUGCUUUGACUGCAGAUGGAGCUGCCGCCGUGGAGACCCUUCAGGCAGAACUUGCCGAUCCAAGGAACAAGCUAGGAGAAGCAAUGCGGCCGCCCUGAAGGCAGCCGAAGAGUUAAAUGCCGAACAGGCUGCUCAUCGCUAGAGCGAAGAUAAAAUAGCCAACAUGGCUCUUGAGCUGCAAAAUGCCGCCAGCCAAUAUGAGCUCCUCGAAAGGGAAAGCCAAGCGAAAACGGCUGACUUGAAGAAGGCCUUGGAAGCAGCCAAGGAAACGCACUCUGAAAUCAGAGCGGCGCGGGAGGAGCUUCGUCAAGCCGGAGAUAUUGCGGCUGGGAAGCCCUUCUUAUUGCGGACGAAGCUCGUCGAUCUGAAGUAUGCCCCUCUUGAUCAAUUGUGGAGUUCGGCAGACGCAUACUUGGAUUUAGCAAAGAGUGCUACUGAUGCGACGAAGUAUUUAAAAGAUUAGAAAGAUCAUGAGGUGGAAAGAUUGUUCUGGUCGCAAUUCAGUAAUCCAAGGCAUCCGCUGCUGUUGAAUAAGCAAAUGGCCGAGUGGGCCGAGCUCCAUCGGUUGUCCGGGCUUGCCAUGAAGUCUGUCGUGGAUCAUCUUUGGCUGAAGGAACCAAGUCCGGAUAGUUAUUUUGGUUUAGUGCAACGAUUUCUUCGUGUUGUGCCGCAUAUCGACACUGUCAAGAGGUCGGCGUGCAUAGAGGGUGCACGGAUGGCUCUUGCCCGUGUUAAGACAUAUUGGGCAAAGAUGGAGGCCACUGCUGUUGCAACCAGGGGUCCACUGUCAUGCCCAAUAUGCGAUACUAUCCUAAAGAGACUCGAAGGUCCCACCAAGGAUAGAACCGCAUAUUGAUACGCUUUUGCAAAGUGGAUAUCAUUACAUCAACAUUACAUAAUAGAUGGGGAUACAUACAAAAGGCAUACAAUGCCACACGAAUACAACAUCACAAUACAUGAGAACAACAUCCGACUAUGGAUGAAACAUAAAUAGAAACUCAAACGACAUCCACCCUGCUAGCCCAGGCUGCCGACCUGGAACCUAUCCCCUGAUCGAAGAAGAAGCAGAAGAAGAACUCCAAAACAAGCAAACAUCGCUCUCGCGUCAUGAUCAUCGCACAACCUGCAACUUCAACUGUUGUUGUAGUAAUCUGUGAGCCACGAGGACUCAGCAAUCCCAUUACCAUGGGUAUCAAGACUAGCAAAGCUUAAUGGGUAAGGAAGAGGUAAAGUGGUGAGGUUGCAGCAGCGACUAAGCAUAUAUGGUGGCUAACCAACACAAAUAAGAGCGAGAAGAGAGCAAGCGAAACGGUCGUGAAGCUAGCAAUGAUCAAGAGUUGAUCCUGGACUCCUACUUACGUCAAACAUAACACAGAAACCGUGUUCACUUCCCGGACUCCGCUGAAAAGAGACCAUCACGGCUACACACGCGGUUGAUGCAUUUUAAAUCGGAUCUGGUGUCAAGUUAUCUACAACCGGACAUUAACAAAUUCCCAUCUGCCACAUAACCGCGGGCACGGAUCUCGAAAGUUUAUACCCUGCAGGGGUGUCCCAACUUAGCCCAUGAUAAGCUCUCGCGAUCAACGAAGGAUAUACCUUCUCCCAGGAAGACCCGAUCAGUCUCGAAAUCCCGGUUUAUAAGACAUUUCGACAAUGGUAAAACAAGACCAGCAAAGCCGCCCGAUGUGCCGACAAAUCCCGAUAGGAGCUGCACAUAUCUCGUUCUCAGGGCACACCGGAUAAGCGAAGCAUACAGGUACCAACGUAACCCAAGUUGCGAAGGGACAGCUCGCACGAUGCUCUAGUUUGGACCAACACUCGGAGGAGCACUGGCCCGGGGGGUAAAUAAAGAUGACCCUCGGGCUCCGGAAACCCAAGGGAAAAAGGGCUAGGUGAGGCAAAUGGUAAAACCAAGGUUGGGCCUUGCUGGAGGAGUUUUAUUCAAAGCAAACUGUCAAGGGGGUCCCAUAAAUCACCCAACCGCGUAAGGAACACAAAAUCCGGGAACAUAACUCCGGUAUGACGGAAACUAGGGUGGCAAGAGUGGAACAAAACACCAGGCAUAAGGCCGAGUCUUCCACCCUUUACCAAGUGUAUAGAUGCAUUAAUUAAAUAAGAGAUAUUGUGAUAUCCCAACAUAAUCCUGUCCAUCAUGGGGCAAUCUUCAACUUCACCUGCAACUAACAACGCUAUAAGAGGGGCUGAGCAAAGCAGUAACAUAGCCAAGCAAUGUUUUGCUAGGACGGGUGAAAAGGUUAGAGGCUGACAUGGCAAUUUGGGAGGCUUGAAGAGCAAAAGAUAGGUAGCGCGGCAAAGCGAUAGAACGAAGCAACUAGCAUAGCAAUGAUAGUAGUGAGAUCCAGGGUAGCGGUCAUCUUGCCUGAAAUCCCGGUAGGAAGAAGAACGAGUCCAUGAAGAAGACGAACGGAUGAAGGCAAACCAAGCGUAGACGAACGAAUCCUCACGAUCGCAACGAAAUGGGAACUAUCGAGAAGAAGCACACAACAUGGUAAACACACCACACAUAGACAAGACAUGAUGCACAACAAGCAUGAUGCAUGACAAAGCUACAUGGAGCUACUCAUGACAAGAGAUGAUGCAAACAAGAGCAACACAUCAACACAAGUUUAAAUGUUGUCGGGAACAACAUAUGACAAAUCCGGUAAGUCCUCAUAUGCAAAUUUAGAAAUUGGUCCAGAACUGAACAAACAUUAAGUUGAUGUUGUUAAAUAGAAAGUUAAAGAGCAUCAAGAGGAUCUACACGAAAUUCUAGUCAAGUUACAUAUAAAGUUCAUUUAAAUCAGAGCUACGGUCUAGAAGAUAUGAGCAAAACAAGUCAAACAUGGCAUUGAUGCCAAAAGCAUACAAACACCAAGCAAACACCUCAAAACAAGGAUGCAACAUGAUAAUAUGAAUCUUCAUGCAAAAACAAGCAAGUUUCAUAUAGAGCACACUCAAAACAGAGCAACGUUCAACACAUACACUCUAUACAAGUUUAAAGGACAAGUUGUCCAAAACAGUAGCUAGGCAUCUAUAAAGCAUCAAAACAAUAUGCUACAGCACCCAAACAUAAGAACAAAAGGCAUGGGCAUGAAGUACACGUAAAGCAUGACAAAACAUGAACACUGAGCUAUCUCCAGAAAGGACAAGGACAUGCUCAAAAGGACAUGGCAAGAUUGCAAAUAAUAACAGUUUCAGACUUAGCAGAAAUAACAUCAGCUUGCAAUGUUUAGAGCUAUCAAACAACAUUCUACAGGAAUUUAACAUGGAAAACAAAGGAAUGGCAUGAAUCUAAUAAUUGCAUAUAACAAAAGUCCUUUACUGACCAUGAGCCAAAAAUGCACAUAAGAUAUGAUGGCACCCAUGUAAACAUAGCAAGUGAUAUGAUAGAUUCAGACAUGGCAGGAACAACAAUAAGUAGGCAUGUUGGUGAGCUUGUACAACUCACCACAUAGCAAUACAUGGCAUGGAAAGGUAACCAACAGUAAGAAGACAUGUUUAUGAAGCUAAGAAUGGCAAGACAAAGUUCAUAGGGUGCAUGUAUCACUAGCAAAACACAUGGAAAAACUGAACUUAAUGUUAACAGGCUGACAGCAACAUUAUUUAGCAAGUUUGGAGCAAGAUAACAACAUGUUACAAUAGGCUAUAAAUGCAACCAAGGGCAUGAAUGGAUAUAGCAUGACAUGUGUAACAAAACAUCCUUAGUGAACAUCUCCAGAUUAUGCAUGGAAUGACUUGUAGCAGCAAGUUAACAUAGCAUCAGGAUAUAGAAGAUUCAGACUAGCAAAACAGUAACAGCAAGUACCCUACUUAACAACCUCGAUGCACUCACUACAAGACUCACAAAAUACAUUGGUUGCACUGCAGUAAAUAUGGCAUGAUGUAUCACAAAACACAUGUUGAGCUCAUGCUCAUAGGAUGCACACACAAAAUGCAACGAAAAAGAUAAAUCAUCAAGUUCUGUUAACAGACAGCAGAUAACAUCACAUAGCAGUCUUGCAACGAUGAUUAGGGCAUCAAGAUGGACACAAACAAGCAUGGCAUAAUGGAAUUAAAUGAAGAGCACAUCAUGAUGAACAUUUUGAUAUAUUACACGCACAAAACGGAUCUCCGGAUGAGGAGUUAUGGCAUGAUGAACAGAGGCACAAAAUACUGCAGGGAUUCGGGACAGAGAAAAUCAACCUCCGGAAGAAGUCAACGGGACGAGGACGUGCGGGACGCAAUGAGGCCGUUUGGAUCGGAUCCCCGUGGAUCUCGUCCCACCUGGACGGAUCUGACCGGAUCCGACUCCGGCGAGGGCGGUCGGCUCCGGCGAGGUCGGUGGGCGGCGGAGGUGACAGAUCCGGCGAGGAGGGCGCGGGGAAGCUCCGGCGGGGACGCGGGACGGCGGCGGAGCUCGACGCUGGAGGCGCGCGAUGGCGCGGCGGAGGAGCCCAGCGAGGUGCUGGCCGGCGCACCGAGGCGAUGGCAGGUCGCCGGCGGCGGACAGCGGAAGGCGCGGGCNNNNNNNNNNNNNNNNNNNNNNNNNNNNNNNNNNNNNNNNNNNNNNNNNNNNNNNNNNNNNNNNNNNNNNNNNNNNNNNNNNNNNNNNNNNNNNNNNNNNNNNNNNNNNNNNNNNNNNNNNNNNNNNNNNNNNNNNNNNNNNNNNNNNNNNNNNNNNNNNNNNNNNNNNNNNNNNNNNNNNNNNNNNNNNNNNNNNNNNNNNNNNNNNNNNNNNNNNNNNNNNNNNNNNNNNNNNNNNNNNNNNNNNNNNNNNNNNNNNNNNNNNNNNNNNNNNNNNNNNNNNNNNNNNNNNNNNNNNNNNNNNNNNNNNNNNNNNNNNNNNNNNNNNNNNNNNNNNNNNNNNNNNNNNNNNNNNNNNNNNNNNNNNNNNNNNNNNNNNNNNNNNNNNNNNNNNNNNNNNNNNNNNNNNNNNNNNNNNNNNNNNNNNNNNNNNNNNNNNNNNNNNNNNNNNNNNNNNNNNNNNNNNNNNNNNNNNNNNNNNNNNNNNNNNNNNNNNNNNNNNNNNNNNNNNNNNNNNNNNNNNNNNNNNNNNNNNNNNNNNNNNNNNNNNNNNNNNNNNNNNNNNNNNNNNNNNNNGUGUCCGGCGGCGCGGAUAGGGUUUGAUCUAGGGUUAGGGUGGAUUUCAUCCGCGAAUUUGGAAGGGGAAGGGCUUAUUUAUAGGUAGAGGGAGCUAGGAGACUUCAAAUGAGGUGCGUUUUUCGCCCACACGAUCGUGAUCAAACGACCAAGAGCAAGGAGGGGGUUUGGAUGGGUUAUUGGGCCAUUUUGGAGGGGUGUUGGGCUGCACACAAAAGAGGCCUUUACGGUUCCCUGGUUAACCGUUGGAGUAUCAAACGACCUCCAAAUGGCACGAAACUUGAUAGGUGGUCUAACGGUGGUGUACCAAGACUGCUUGGCAAAUCCCGGUCCAUUCCGAGAAUGUUUAACACCCGCACACGAAAAGAGGUAAAAGGGGGCACCGGGGGACAUAGGAGUGUCGGAUUGCAAAACAGACAACGGGGAAAAUGCUCGGAUGCAUCAGAUGAACAUGUAUGCAAAAUGAGAUGCACAUGAUGACAUGAUAAAAUGCAACAGCUAGCAAAUGACAAGGCAAUGACGGCGAAUAACUGGGUGACACCUGGCGCAACGAAUCCGGGGCGUUACAACUCUCCUCUACUAACAAGAGAUCUCGUUCCGAGAUCUUAGGACCGAGACGGAAGGGAAAAGGGAUGAGGUGAAACAAGAACUCAAGAGAAGAAGCAAAGAAUCGAGAGCACUCGAGAAGAAGAAAAGAACGACGAGAAUGACGAGAAUCGCAAACUCACGGAAUCAGAUAGACUAUGAAACCACUCCGGUUAGAACGAGAUAAGAAACGAAUAAGACUGAAAGGAUUUAGGUAGCACUCCGGCUGAAACAUGGAGGAAUAGAACACAAGCUUGAGAGGAUGUAAUGAUACUUGAUGAAGACAUGACACAAAACCUCCGGAAAGAAUUGAAAGAGUUUAAUGAAAAGAACGGAGAAGAAAAUGACAACUUGUGCCACGAAUGAAAUUGAAAACAUCUUUGGAAGGAAAGUUUAAACGGAGUUGUUGAGAAAAUCAACAACGAAAAGAAUAAACUUGUUGUGGACUUAUAGGUAACAUCUCAAGUUCAUAAGGUGAUAAUCAGCCACAAAUGGAAAUGAUUUGAUAUCUGAGAAGAACGAAGAGAUGCAAAACUCCACUUCAAAAGAAUACGGAGAAUUAAUUACACUUCGAGACGCGAGAAGAAAAGAUACUUGAACUCCACCAACAAGAAUCUUGCUGAACACUUGACAGAAUGAAUUAAAUCAUGAAGAACUACCAUGAAGAUCUCCGGAACCAAAAGGAUGACGAGAUAAAAUUGAAGGAUGAAAGGGAUAAGAUUAAGCCUUGCAAUGAUUUGGAUGGAGCUUCGCAACGGAACAAGUGAGAAGCUUGGAACUCCGGAAAAGAAAAGAUGAAAACACUUGGAACUAGAAUUUAUUCAUCAAGAACAAACACCGAAGGAAAGGAUUACUCACUUGGAUGAAAUAAGAAUAAGAUUUAUUGUAUGCUUAUCCUUCAUCAAAUUAAAUUGAUGACAAGCAAUGGAUUUUGCAUAUUACUUAUUCUUGUUGAAGAUGAUUAAGGGGGGGUAUAUGGCGCAAAACUAGAGAAAGUCUUCAUGAACCACCGGUAGGAUUGAAAAGAAUGAAUGAAUUAACAUGAUAAUGAAGGAAAAAUAAUCUUGAACAAACCACCAUAAGAAUUCGAAAAUGAAUGAUGAAAGAGACUGAAUCAUCGGGAAGAAUUAGAAGAACCAAUAUGCUAGAGGGGAUUUAGAUGCAAAAGAACAAAGAGAUCACGAGUAGAUUAAAGAGCACUUGAACGAUGCACCGGGAUAAUUGGAUAACAGUAGCUGAAAAGUGAGGACAAAGAAUUCUUCUCGAAUGAUGGCCUCCGGUGAAAAGAAAUGGAAAAACAACUCCUGACAUACAUCGGAUGGUAAGAGAACAAUAUCUGACAAAUGGAAUAAUUCGAGAGGGUAGCAUGAAACUAGAACCAUGAAUCUUGGAGAGAACGGGCAAAAUUUAGGGGAAAACUCUUCUUCGGUCUUCAAAUGACGAAGGAAAACACCACCAAAAUUACUGAGAUACUCCGGGAGAAUGAAAAGCGAAGAGGUUGAGCCAACAAUGAAAAGAAUUUGAAAGAGAUCUUGGAGAAGGCAUGUGACUGAUGGGAUCCAUUCUUAUGUCACAAUUGAAAAGAAUUGAGAAAAACUCCGAGGGAAUUAGAAGAGUCAGGUAAGAUCCUGGGAAAAGACCUGUGGGUUAGAUCCCACUGAAGAGAUAACACCGUUGGAAAAGGAUUGUUGAACAGAUAGAUGAUGCACCGGAACAAUUGAAAUAUUUGAAUGAGGUGACAACCUCGAAUUAAUUCACACACAGACGAAUCUCCUGAGAUGUCUUCCGAACUCCGGAAUGAUUGAAUGGCGAGAGGCAAACGAUCAAGGAGAACACUUGAUCCAAGGAAAAUAAUAUGAUCAACCCAAAAACUUGAAUUGAGUGCACUGGAAAAAAAGGGAUGAAGAAUGACGAACGACAAGAGGAUCCAUCGGUUGAAAUAAUUGAGGGGAGACUGAAGAGACUCUGUAUGAAUGAAAAAUUGAUGCUCGAAAAAGACUCCGNNNNNNNNNNNNNNNNNNNNNNNNNNNNNNNNNNNNNNNNNNNNNNNNNNNNNNNNNNNNNNNNNNNNNNNNNNNNNNNNNNNNNNNNNNNNNNNNNNNNNNNNNNNNNNNNNNNNNNNNNNNNNNNNNNNNNNNNNNNNNNNNNNNNNNNNNNNNNNNNNNNNNNNNNNNNNNNNNNNNNNNNNNNNNNNNNNNNNNNNNNNNNNNNNNNNNNNNNNNNNNNNNNNNNNNNNNNNNNNNNNNNNNNNNNNNNNNNNNNNNNNNNNNNNNNNNNNNNNNNNNNNNNNNNNNNNNNNAGACUCCGGUUCCGGGAAGAAGAGGGUGGGAGGGCGGGAAAACAAAGGCAACUUGGAAGGGUAAAAACCCUAUGAAUAACUUGAAGAGAAAACACCGGUUGAAAUCAUUGAGGAAAGAAAGCAAAGACUUCACACGAGUAGGAUGGAUACUCGAUUAUGGACUCCGGCUCCGAGAAGAAAAAGGGGUGGGUGGGUGGGAAAAGAAGACAACUGAGGACUGAACUUGGCAACGAUGAAGAGGCUUGAGUCAACUUGACGAGAAAUGCACUGGAUGAAAAGAGAUGAGUACCAACGACCGAAAACCAACUGCGUGAUCCUAAAGAAAGUUCGAAGGGGAAGAGAGUAAUCCAAAACACCUACGUCAAGAUUCCUUACCAGAGCGACGAAGGGGCUGAGGAGUAAAAGGAAUUCCUACUCUCCAAUAUAUCUAAACUCCGAAAACAGUUUUCUUCUAGACUCAACAACGGCCAAACUACACGAUCAAUCAAGGGGGCUCCUAAGGUCGGUCGAGGCUCUGAUACCAACUUGUCACGCCAAAUAUGCGAUACUAUCUUAAAGAGACUCGAAGGUCCCACCAAGGAUAGAACCGCAUAUUGAUACGCUUUUGCAAGGUAGAUAUCAUUACAUCAACAUUACAUAAUAGAUGGGGAUACAUACAAAAGGCAUACAAUGCCACACGAAUACAACAUCACAAUACAUGAGAACAACAUCCGACUACGGAUGAAACAUAAAAAGAAACUCAAACGACAUCCAUCCUACUAGCCCAGGCUGCCGACUUGGAACCUAUCCCCUGAUCAAAGAAGAAGCAGAAGAAGAACUCCAAAACAAGCAAACAUCGCUCUCGCGUCAUGAUCAUCGCAUAACCUGCACCUGCAACUGUUGUUGUAGUAAUCUGUGAGCCACGAGGACUCAGAAAUCCCAUUACCAUGGGUAUCAAGACUAGCAAAGCUUAAUGGGUAAGGAAGAGGUAAAAUGGUGAGGUUGCAGCAGCGACUAAGCAUAUAUGGUGGCUAACCAACGCAAAUAAGAGCGAGAAGAGAGAAAGCGGAACGGUCGUGAAGCUAACAAUGAUCAAGAGGUGAUCCUGAACUCCUACUUAUGUCAAACAUAACACAGAAACCAUGUUCACUUCCCGGACUCCGCUGAAAAGAGACCAUCAUGGCUACACACGUGGUUGAUGCGUUUUAUAUCAGAUCUGGUGUCAAGUUAUCUACAACCGGACAUUAACAAAUUCCCAUCUGCCACAUAACCGCGGGAACGGCUCUCGAAAGUUUAUACCCUGCAGGGGUGUCCCAACUUAGCCAAUGAUAAGCUCUCGCGAUCAACGAAGGAUAUACCUUCUCCUAGGAAGACCCGAUCAGUCUCGGAAUCCCGGUUUACAAGACAUUUCGACAAUGGUAAAACAAGACCAGCAAAGCCGCCCGAUGUGCCGACAAAUCCCGAUAGGAGCUGCACAUAUCUCGUUCUCAGGGCACACCGGAUAAGCAAAGCGUACAGGUACCAACGUAACCCAAGUUGCUAAGGGACAGUCCCGCACGAUGCUCUAGUUUGGACCAACACUCGAAGGAGCACUGGCCCGGGGGGUAAAUAAAGAUGACCCCCGGGCUCCGGAAACCCAAGGGAAAAGGGGCUAGGUGAGGCAAAUGGUAAAACCAAGGUUGGGCCUUGCUGGAGGAGUUUUAUUCAAAGCGAACUGUCAAGGGGGUCCCAUAAAUCACCCAACCGCGUAAGGAACACAAAAUCCGGGAACAUAACUCCGGUAUGACGGAAACUAGGGUGGCAAGAGUGGAACAAAACACCGGGCAUAAGGCCGAGUCUUCCACCCUUUACCAAGUGUAUAGAUGCAUUAAUUAAAUAAGAGAUAUUGUGAUAUCCCAACAUAAUCCUGUCCAUCAUGGGGCAAUCUUCAACUUCACCUGCAACUAACAACGCUAUAAGAGGGGCUGAGCAAAGCAGUAACAUAGCCAAGCAAUGGUUUGCUAGGACGGGUGAAAAGGUUAGAGGCUGACAUGGCAAUUUGGGAGGCUUGAUGAGCAAAAGAUAGGUAGCGCGGCAAAGUGAUAGAAUGAAGCAACUAGCAUAGCAAUGAUAGUAGUGAGAUCCAGGGUAGCGGUCAUCUUGCCUGAAAUCCUGGUAGGAAGAAGAACGAGUCCAUGAAGAAGACGAACGGAUGAAGACAAACCAAGCGUAGACGAACGAAUCCUCACGAUCGCAACGAAACGGGAACUAUCGAGAAGAAGCACACAAUGUGGUAAACACACCACACAUAGACAAGACAUGAUGCACAACAAGCAUGAUGCAUGACAAAGCUACAUGGAGCUACUCAUGGCAAGAGAUGAUGCAAACAAGAGCAACACAUCAACGCAAGUUUAAAUGAGGCCGGGAACAACAUAUGACAAAUCCGGUAAGUCCUCAUAUGCAAAUUUAGAAAUUGGUCUAGAACUGAACAAACAUUGAGUUGACAUUGUUAAACAGCAAUUUAAAGAGCAUCAAGAGGAUCUACACGAAAUUCUAGUCAAGUUACAUAUAAAGUUCAUUUAAAUCAGAGCUACGGUCUAGAAGAUAUGAGCAAAACAAGUCAAACAUGGCAUUGAUGCCAAAAGCAUACAAACACCAAUCAAACACCUCAAAACAAGUAUGCAACAUGAUAAUAUGAAGCUUCAUGCAGAAACAAGCAAGUUUCAUAUAGAGCACACUCAAAACAGAGCAACGGUUCAACACAUACACUCUAUACAAGUUUAAAGGACAAGCUGUCCAAAACAGCAGCUAGGCAUCUUAGCAAGCAUCAAAACAAUAUGCUACAGCACCCCAACAUAAGAACAAAAGGCAUGGGCAUGAAGUACAGGUAAAUCAUGACAAAACAUGAACACUGAGCUAUCUCCAGAAAGGACUAGAACAUGCUCAAAAGGACAUGGCAAGAUUGCAAAUAAUAACAGUUUCAGACUUAGCAGAAAUAACAUCAGGUUGCAAUGUUUAGAGCUAUCAAACAACAUUCUACAGGAACUUAACAUGGAAAAAAGGCAUGGCAUGAAUCUAUUAAUUGCAUAUAACAAAAGUCCUUUACUGACCAUGAGCCAAAAAUGCACAGAAGAUAUGAUGGCUCCCAUGUAAACAUAGCAAAUGAUAUGACAGAUUCAGACAUGGCAGGAACAACAAUAAGUAGGCAUGUUGGUGAGCUUGUAAAACUCACCACAUAGCAAUAAAUGGCAUGGAAAGGUGACCAACAGUAAUAAGGCAUGUUUAUGAAGCUAAGCAUGGCAAUAGAAAGUUAAGAGGGUGCAUGGAUAACUAGCAAAACACAUGGAAAACUGAACUUAAUGUUAACAGGCUGAAAGCAACAUUAUUUAGCAAGUUUGGAGCAAGAUACCAACAUGUUACAGCAGGCUAUAAAUGCAACCAGGGGCAUGAAUGUAUAUAGCAUGACAUUGUGUAACAAUACAUCCUUAGUGAACAUCUCUAGAUUAUGCAUGGAAUGACUUGUAACAGCAGGUUAACAUAGCAUCAGGAUAUAGCAGAUUCAGACUAGCAAAACAGUAACAGCAAGUACCCUACUUAACAAGCUCGAUGCACUCACUACAAGACUCACAAAAAUACAUAGAUUGCACUACAGUAAAUAUGGCAUGAUGUAGCACAAAACACAUAUUGAGCACAUGCUCAUAGGAUGCACACACAAAAUGCAACGAAAAAGACAAAUCAUCAAGUUCUGUUAACAGACAGCAGAUAACAUCACAUAGCAGUCUUGCAACAAUGAUUAGGGCAUCAAGCUGGACUCAAACAAGCAUGGAAUAAUUGAAUAAAAUGAAGAUCACAUCUUGAUGAACAUUUUUGAUAUAUUACACACACAAAAUGGAUCUCCGGAUGAGGAGUUAUGGCAUGAUGAACAGAGGCACAAAAUACUGCAGGGAUUCGGGACAUGGAGAGAAAUCAACCUCUGGAAGAAGUCAACGGGACGAGGACGUGCAGGACGCAACGAGGCCGUUUGGAUUGGAUCCCGGUGGAUCUCAUCCCACCUGGACGGAUCUGACCGGAUCCGACUCCGGCAAGGGCGGCCGGCUCCGGCGAGGUCGGUGGGCGGCGGAGGCGACGGAUCCGGCGAGGAGGGCGCAAGGAAGCUCCCGCGGGGACGCAGAAUGGUGGCGGAGCUCGACGCUAGAGGCGCGCGACGGCGCGGCAAAGGAGCCAGGCGAGGUGCUGGCCGGUGCACCGAGGCGGCAGCAGGUCGCCGGCGGCGGGCGGCAGAAGGCGCGGGCGCGGGGUCGGGCUCCGGCAAGCCUCCGGUGGCCGGAGCUGCGACGUGCNNNNNNNNNNNNNNNNNNNNNNNNNNNNNNNNNNNNNNNNNNNNNNNNNNNNNNNNNNNNNNNNNNNNNNNNNNNNNNNNNNNNNNNNNNNNNNNNNNNNNNNNNNNNNNNNNNNNNNNNNNNNNNNNNNNNNNNNNNNNNNNNNNNNNNNNNNNNNNNNNNNNNNNNNNNNNNNNNNNNNNNNNNNNNNNNNNNNNNNNNNNNNNNNNNNNNNNNNNNNNNNNNNNNNNNNNNNNNNNNNNNNNNNNNNNNNNNNNNNNNNNNNNNNNNNNNNNNNNNNNNNNNNNNNNNNNNNNNNNNNNNNNNNNNNNNNNNNNNNNNNNNNNNNNNNNNNNNNNNNNNNNNNNNNNNNNNNNNNNNNNNNNNNNNNNNNNNNNNNNNNNNNNNNNNNNNNNNNNNNNNNNNNNNNNNNNNNNNNNNNNNNNNNNNNNNNNNNNNNNNNNNNNNNNNNNNNNNNNNNNNNNNNNNNNNNNNNNNNNNNNNNNNNNNNNNNNNNNNNNNNNNNNNNNNNNNNNNNNNNNNNNNNNNNNNNNNNNNNNNNNNNNNNNNNNNNNNNNNNNNNNNNNNNNNNNNNNNNNGAGGGCCGGAACUGGGCUCCUGUGGGCCCGCGGCAGCGCGGGGGCGGCGGGACAACGUGGCGGGUCCUGGUUUGCCGGUGGGCAGUGGCUGGACAUGUCCGUCGGUGGAAGAAGUGUCCGGCGGCGCGGAUAGGGUUUGAUCUAGGGUUAGGGGUGGAUUUCAUUCGCGAAUUUGGAAGAGGAAGGGCUUAUUUAUAGGUAGAGGGAGCUAGGAGACUCCAAAUGAGGUGCAGUUUUCGCCCACACAAUCGUGAUCGAACGACCGAGAGCAUGGAGGGGGUUUGGAUGGGUUAUUGGGCCGUUUUGGAGGGGUGUUGGGCUGCACACAAAAGAGGCCUUUACGGUUCCCCAGUUAACCGUUGGAGUAUCAAACGACCUCCAAAUGGCACGAAACUUGACAGACGGUCUACCGGUAGUGUACCAAGGUUGCUUGGCAAAUCAUGGUCCAUGGCGAGAAUGUUUAACACCCGCACACGAAAAGAGGUAAAAGGGGGCGCCGGCGGACAUAGGAGUGUCGGAUUGCAAAACGGACAACGGGGAAAAUGCUCGGAUGCAUGAGACGAACACGUAUGCAAAAUGAGAUGCACAUGAUGACAUGAUAAAAUGCAACACGCAAGCAAAUGACAUGGCAACGACGGCGAAUAACUGGGUGACACCUGGCGCAAUGAAUCCAGGGCGUUACAUCCGCCCGGGGGUCAGGACUCGCCCAAGCACUAUUUUGCAGAAGUCCUGGAAGGUGCCUGUUUAUAGAGGCUCAGUGCUCAAAGAGUACCAUGUUCCAGUGACAUAUAUUUUGAUUGUAAAAACAAUGCUUUUUGAUAAUAAAGGCUAUAUUAAUACUUUUGCCCAUAAAGUAUUGUAGUGCCUCCUGUGCGGCCGUUUAUGUAUGUAUAUAACCUGAAAGUUUGCAGUCUUCGGUUUCAGCCCCCAUGCAUAUAAUGCGGGGGUGUUCGGUAAAGCGCGUAAUCACACUUGAUCCAACGUCUUGGUCCAUUAAGGAGGUGAUAGCGCGGCGAACGAGGCAAUCGGAGUAUAUAGCUUUAACACUUUCACUUAGCCAUAGGAGUUUGACGGUGGGGCUACUAUAUAGCCCUUGGUAUGUCCGCGUUCGUCUGAAUACGGUGCGCGUACAUACUUGACCGAGAAACCGGUCCUUCGUUAAUGCGGAGGAAUCGCGAAGAUCCGAUGAGUCCUCGAGUGGUUGACCAGUCUCUCGCUUUAUCAUGACAGUCAGUUUUCGGCUUUCUCUACUAAGGUGCUCAUCCAGAUGAACUAGGGCACAAUCGCAGUAGUUCUCCCGGUGCCACCUUAGCCGAUAGAGCGGAACAUAAGGUAGCAAAACACGGGAGCCGGGCAAACCCAACUAUUGACCAAAGACAUGAUUCGGAGCUGAUGCAUAUAAGGCCAAACUCGCGACGCCGAACACUCGCGAAGGUAUUCAGACUUUAAAACAUAUACUGGGCUGAGUACCGCCCUCGAUAAUGAGCCCUGAAUAUCCAGGUACGUGCAUUAAUCAGGCGUGACGAAAUGCUAAUAACGCCAGUAUCCCUCUCGAUUGUUUUAAGUGCCCGGAGGGUGUGAAGCAACAAGAGACAAUAAAAAAAGGUUUACACAGGGUCUUAAUCUAAAAAGAAAUCUUUGAACGUGGCCCUGCUGCACGUCUGCGCCUUUGUCUCCGUUGUGCCAUAUCCUGGAAGGGUGUAGCACGAUGGUCAUCUGUAAAAAAGAAAAAAUCCAGGUGAAAGUAGCUGGUGUGACCAUUCAAAAAGUUGGUUAUUCUGAAUGAAUCAUGAGAAUUCACUCUAUUGUAUAUUAGUAGGGUCGAGCCAAACUAUAGACCCUUUUACAUGCGGGCAGUGCCUAGCACCACAUAUGGGGGCAUAUCCAUCGACCAAGCUCAGCUUUAUCUGGGCUGCUACAAUAGUGGUGCGCCGGACACAUCUAGCCGUGUUCAUGGUCUUGACGACCAAUCAUUUAUUCGGGUUGGGGAGGUCGUUCAGUGGUUUGGCUGCUAGAGCCGCCACAUAUUCUUCUGCACGCAAGGAACGCUCUGUAUUUCCGCUAAUUGUGAUGACGCCACGUGGACCGGGCAUCUUAAGUUUAAGAUAAGUGUAAUGCGGAACUACAUUGAAGCGAGUGAAGGUCGUUCUUCCGAGUAGUGCAUGGCAGCCGCUUCAGAAUGGAGCGAUGUCGAAGAUUAGUUCUUCGCUUCGUAAGUUGUCGGGCGAACCGAAUACAACCUCUAGUAUCAGAGAGCCUGUGCAGCGGGCCUCUACGCCUGGUAUUACCUCUUUAAAGGUGGUAUUGCUUAGGCUGAUUCUUGACGGUUCUAUCCCCAUCUUGCGGACAGUGUCCUGAUAUAUCAGAUUAAGACUACUGCCGCCGUCUAUGAGGACUCAGGUGAGAUGGUAUCCGUUAAUUAUUGGGUCGAGCACCAAGGCGGCCGAACCUCCAUGUCGGAUACUAGUCGGAUGAUCCCUGCGAUCGAAAGUGAUCGGGAAGGCCGACCAUGGGUUGGAUUUGGGGGCAACUAGUUCUACAGCGUAUACGUCUCGGAGUGCAUGUUUGCGCCUCCUCUUUGGGAUGUGGGUUGCGUAAAUCAUGUUCACUGUUUUGACCUCUGGUGGAAAAAAUUUAUGUCCCCCAGUGUUCGGCUGGUGAGGCUCGUCCUCGUCUUCAUUUGGCGUAUCCCUCCCUUUGUGUUCAGCAUUUAGCUUGCCGACCUGCUUCAAGACCCAGCAUUCUCUGUUGGUGUGAUUUGCAGGUUUCUCGGGGGUGCCAUGAAUCUGACAUAAUCUAUCUAGAAUUUUGUUUAGGCUGGACGGCGCAUCUCUGCUGCCUUUAAAUGGCUUUUUCUGUUGACCGGGUCGAGAGCCCCUGAAUCCGAUGUUUACCGCCGUGUUGUCUGGGUUGUCUUCGUUAUUUCGACGCUUCAUUUUAUUGCGUCGCGGCUUCCCAUUGCCGCCCUCAUUUCGUAUGUGCCUGGGUCGCUGGUGCCGCUGCGGGCCAACCAACUGUCUUCGCCCGCGCAAAAGCGGGUCAUAAGGCUUGUUAGGGCUGCCAUUGUCCUCGGCUUUUCCUGGCCGAGGUGUCUGGCGAGCCAUUCGUCCCGGACACUGUGCUUGAAGGCCGCUAAGGCUUCGGCAUCCGGGCAGUCGACGAUUUGAUUCUUCUUGGUGAGAAAUCUAUUCCAAAGCUUACGGGCUGACUCUCCGGGUUGUUGGAUUAUGUGACUUAAAUCGUCUGCAUCCGGAGGUCGGACAUAGGUCCCUUGAAAAUUAGCCCUGAAAGCAUCCUCAAGUUCUUCCCAACUUCCAAUUGAGUUUUCAUGGAGGCUUUUCAACCAGUGCCGAGCUGGUCCUUUCAACUUGACGGGCAGGUAUUUGAUGGCGUGGAGAUCGUCUCCGUGAGCCAUAUGGAUGUGAAGAAUAAAGUCCUCAAUCCACACUACAGGGUCUGUCGUUCUGUCGUAUGCCUCUAUGUUGACGGGUUUAAAUCCCUCUGGAAAUUCAUGAUCCAGCACCUCAUCGGUGAAGCACAGGGGGUGUGCAGCACCCCUGUAUUUGGAUGUGUCAUGGCAUGCUGCUGACUGUUGUAGUGUUCGGCGUUGAUUCUGAGCUGGUAUUCGAUUAGUAUAGUCGUUUUGGUGGUCGUGAUCAUGCACUGGAGCACGCUUCCUAGAUCCAUAGAUGGACCUGGCCAUAUCGGCUUUUUUGUCCAGGUGCUCACGUAAAUCGUGUGCUGACUUGUGUGCGGCGUCAUUAGCUGCCCUGUCGCGGCCAUGGGGUGGUCGGUCCGGCAGAUCGACCGUAUUAUUUUUCGGCGGAAUGGGCUCUACAGCCUCACCGUCGAAUUCGGGCAGCAGCUUGCGCUUUGGGUAGCUCUUUGUGUGGCAAUCGCCAUCGUAUUUUUCGUCAGUGUCAAGCACUUUGUUCCAUCUGUGGUUGAGCAUAUCUUGCGCGGCCUUAAGCCUUUGUUUCUGCUUCUUCAAGCUCCUCGCGGUGGCGAUAAGCCUUUUGUGGAGGUCUUCUUGUUCCAAGUGCUUUUCCGGGAUGAUGAGUGCAUCAUCGUCCGGACUGUUCUCCUUUCUGGAGACAGGUUUAUGAGUUUUAUUUUCAGCAUCGCUGUGAUAGGACAGCGGCCCCGUACUAUGUUCGCUGUCCCCUAGCUCAUCCUGCUCCAUUGCUGGGUCCAUGGGGUCAUCAUUACUUUUGGAGUCGACCAGGGUAUUAUUCUUUCUUGUGUCAUUAUCACUGUUUUUGCUGUGGCGGGAUUUAGAGUGGCCCCGACGCCGGCGCUUUGGUUGCUUCUCAAGAGGAUUAUCCUCCGUUGCAUCCCUCUGUUCUUCGCCAUUGUGUAAUUUGGGUGUGUCCACAAUGUAUAUAUCAUAUGAUGAGGUGGUUGUCCAGCGCCCUUUGGGCGGUGGUUCCUGUUCUUCUCCGGCAUCGUCGUCCAUACUGUCGAUGUCUUCGGAGUCAAAAUCAAGCAUGUCGGUUGAGUCGUCGAUAGUGGCUAUUAAGUGGGUGGUGGGUGGGGAACGAAUUUCUUCGUCGUCCGCUUUCCACUCAAGCCGGACAUAGUUCGGCCAAGAGUCUCCUGAUAGGGUUCGAGAUUUCAGUGAAUUUAGCACGUCGCCCAAGGGCAAGUUCUGAAAGAUAUCCGUGGAGGUAAACUCCAUGAUUGGUGCCUCAUCAGAUUCGAUAGGCACGGAUGCACGCGGUUCAGAGCCUAUGGCCGGAGACGAGUCCGCGGGUCCGAUGUCACAGACCUCAUUGGAGGCGAAGUCUGUGUUCGGCUCUAUUGUCGAUGAGUGUACGGCCUCCGUGGCGGGGUCUAUCCACCCGUCCUCGGAUGGCAUGAUCUGCUCAGGAUCUAAGGCCAAGGCAGCUGCAGGUGCGUUCUCCUGAACACCGUCUAAUGGCAGAUCUAAAUCAUGCUCAUCGUGACUAUACGGCACACCUGUCAUGGGCCCGAAUCCAUCGAAGAUCAAGUCUCCGCGGAUGUUGGCAGUGUAGUUCAGGCUUCUAAACCCGACCUGAUGGCCAGGGGCGUAGCUAUUGAUUUGCUCCAGGUGGCCAAGCAAAUUGGCCCGCAGUACGAAGCCGCCGAAUACGAAGACCUGUCUAGGGAGGAAAACCUCACCCUGGAUCGCAUCGUUAUCGAUGAUUGAAGGAGCCAUCAAGCCUUAUGGUGACGACGCAGUGGAACUCUCAAUGAAAGCACCAAUGUCGGUGUCAAAACCGGCGGAUCUCGGGUAGGGGGUCCCGAACUGUGCGUCUAAGGCUAAUGGUAACAGGAGGUGGGGGAUACAAUGUUUACCCAGGUUCGGGCCCUCUCGAUAGAGGUAAUACCCUACUUCCUGCUUAAUUGAUCUUGAUGAUAUGAGUAUUAUAAGAGUUGAUCUACCAUGAGAUCGUAGAGGCUAAACCCUAGAACCUAGCCUAUGAUUAUGAUUGUUGUUGUCCUACGGACUAAACCCUUCGGUUUAUAUAGACACCGGAGGGGCUAGGGUUACACAGAGUCGGUUACAAAGAAGGAAAUCUACAUAUCCGAAUCGCCAAGCUUGCCUUCCACGCAAAGGAGAGUCCCACCCGGACACGGGACGAAGUCUUCAAUCUUGUAUCUUCAUAGUCCAACAGUCCGGCACAAGUACAUAGUCUGGCUGUCCGAGGACCCCCUAAUCCAGGACUCCCUCAGC